RNAcentral lists this long non-coding RNA (45299 nucleotides) under Triticum aestivum (bread wheat). Its description in RNAcentral is "long non-coding RNA (TAES_LNC022776)". The stretch from base 43166 to 43277 matches the Rfam family "MIR1120/MIR1122 microRNA precursor family". Lineage: Eukaryota; Viridiplantae; Streptophyta; Magnoliopsida; Poales; Poaceae. The record is from RNAcentral.
UCACUAGUCAGUGUUUGAAUGUUGUAUAUAUCGUUGUUUCGAACUGUUUAUUGUCUCGAACUAUUGGUGGGCUAAAUGAGGGCAUCACCAUUCUCCAGUGUUUAGAGUAUAUCUCCUUUUUUUCAAGUUAUAUAAUUUGAGCUCAGUGUCUUUUCGAUGAUGUACACUUGUUUGGGCCAGUGAGGUGUCGUUGAAUAUGGGCCGAGUAGUAACGCAAUACCAAACAGGUCAAUUAUGACUCUCAGGCCGGGCUCUCAAAAGAUCCUAAAAAAGGCCGGGCUCUCCAAAAAAGAAAGAAUAAGGACUCUUAGGCCGACAUGUGGGCGCCACCGGUGUUUUCGUGCGCUUGCGCACUGAGAGCAUAUUGGCGCGUGCUCGAAAUUCAUACUACCUUUUCAUCCCCAGUCUCCCGCCCCUCCCCCACCUCUGGAAUCUCGAUUCCUACUCCAGUUCCCCCAAAUCCCCCUCCUGUACUCCCUGUACUCAAGUGCACUAUCAUGUCGCCAGUCAACGCGGAUCUCCGAGCUAGAGAUCCUGAGGUCCGUCCUGCCUUCGGUCGCUGCAUGCUGUCGCUCAACAGUGGCAUGGCAGCGCUUGACGACCAGUUUGCCGGCAAAGUGCUGAUGGUAACCAUCAACGGCGACCGGCCUCCCGUCUCACCAGACGACCUUGUCAAAUCUCUUAGCAUUGCGCACGGCAUCCAAAUAAGUGACUUGCUCGUCGAAGUUUGUCCGCCACCGGCUGAUUUCUUUGUCAGGUUCCGGACAACUUUCGACUGCAGUCGUGUGUUCGAAUCUUCCCGGCGUUUGUUCUGUCAUGGCGCGCUGGUGAGCUUUGAUCGGUGGCAUCAAGGAUGGGGCUCGGUGCCCUCUGAGCUUGAGUUUUUAACAAAGCUUACCUUCCAUGGCAUGCCUUGACGUGCUUGGAACAGCGAGUCCAUGAACAAGCUUAUCAACGACCUUGGAGGUGAGCUCGUAAGUAUGUUUGUUCCUCCAGACAGCUGGGCUCUGACGGUUAUGGCAUCGACGAAGAAGCCGUCCACCAUACCGAAGGUGAUUGGUGUUGAGAUACCGGUGGAGGAACCAGGGUUGUACUAUUCGUCGCCACCAAGGCCACCACGGACCACGUUAAGGAUGUACCUAUAUCGAGUGUUCGUGCAUGUCGAAGAAGUGGUCAAUCCAUCAAUCGAAGUCCUACCGCCGCGGCUGGUGCCAGGGUCCGUCGAUGACGUCCAUUGCAGGAGUCAACGUUAGACUUUCCCCGUGUUGCUCGGAACGAUGGAUGGCACAGGGCCUACUCCAUCACGCGGCAGAGGCCACUGCUUCUUUGGGAGAAGAGGUAGGGCUGGCUGCCUAGAUGUGCUCUAAUUUGAGGUAACAACUGAAUCUUGUCAGAUACUAGUUAAAUCCGAGCUAUGGGUGUGAAGCACUGAUAUGCUAGUACAUUUGAUUGUGACCUGUUCUAAUUUUGUACCUGAACUUUUUUUAGAAAGGGUUGUACGUCAACUUAAUAUGCUAGCAGAACUUAUUGUGUUGUCUGUCUGUUUUCUUUGCACAACAUUCAAGAUAUUUCCCCGUCAUUGAUAAAGACGAUGAACCAUUAUGUACGACUUCCUUGGUUUCAACAUAGCCCUUCGCGUAGCGAUCCACUGCUUCCAUUCUGAUGUGCCGCCUGCGUGAAACUUUUGUGUGCAAGUUCAGUGUGCUAUGAUGUUCUAUAUGAUUGUAUCAACUAUAUAAGUUUUUACUGAGCAUCAGCAAUGCAUAUGGCUGAAAGAUGUAUUUACGAGCAUCGACCGAUGGGUCUCUCUCUCUACCUCUCUCUCUCUCACACACACACACACACACGCGCGCGCGCGCGCACACACGCACAAGUGGGACCCGUUGAAUUAUUUAUUUGCUCGUGACAGCUUUUAAUUAGGUUCCAUUGUAAUCUAACUUUUUUCUUAAGUUAUUAAUUGAGCUCAGUGACUUCAAAAAGUUGUACAGAAGCCUUGUUUGGGCCUUUCCGGCGUCGCUGAAUGUGGGCUGAGUAACCAAGUUAGGUUGUACUGUACUACACAGGCCUUUUUUUCAACAUCAGCAAUGCAACUGGGCCGACAGUUGAACACAAUAUCCGGGUCAACUUGUUAUUCUCCGCCCUGCUGGGCUGCAAACUUUCCUAGGAGGUAUGCAUUAGGCUUAACAAGAAAAUGGACUUUAAGAAAUAAUAAAUGGGAUGUAAUUAUAAUAACUGGGCAGUAACUAUGCACCAAACACGUAAUUAGUUUAAAAAAUAUAUUAUUUUUGGAAUUUGAACUUUUUAAUUUCAUUACUUGUUGCACGCGCAAUAUUUCGUUGGAUUUUAACGUAAUACAACUUUAUUUUGAAAUUAUAUUUAAACUGACUAGCAAUUUCGGAUAAAAAUAUUUCAGAUCCCAUCAAAAUGUGGGGAAAAAUUUAAUUCUGUUUUGAGCGGUUGUUUGAAAUUAUUAAUCGUUUUCCUAGCUAGAAGUUGGGUUAUACUUUUAACAGACUGUAAAUGGGUUGUACUAAAUUCCAUUAGAAUUAAAAAAUGGGUUGUACAUUCUUACAAAUCGCAAAUGGGCUAUAUGUUCUCUGCCAAAUCCGAGUUGUGGGCCUACUAAGUUGACGCGUACCAAGGGCUUUGUCAACUUAGUCAAUAUAAACGAUUCUAGCUGCAGUGAUUGUACGAUGUCCAUCCAACGGCCGUAGUGCUUCUUCAACCUCUAGUCUUCUUGCUCCAGCCGCCCAAAGCAGUGCCGGUCGUGUCGCGUGCUCCUGCCUCCCGUGGCCGUCUGUGAUGCCGCGGAGGCCUCACCGCCCCGUACUACUUCCACCGCUGGCCAGGCCCUGCGGCGACGGCAGCCGCACACCGCAGCCGAACCAGUGAACCCUCGUACUCCUCUCCGCGCGGGCUUCCACUGCUGUGUCUUCCCUGGCUCCGCGUCGUCUCCUUCCUAGGCCUCGCCGUCGUCCACUGCCCUGGUGCUCUCGGCGCGGCAUGGUCAACGUGGUCAAAGACCGACUUCCAUCGGAAGAGUACUGUACGUGGAGAGGCUGACAGCUAGGUCCAGGCGGCCGCGGAAGUGCCUCCUUAUUACGUGCAAAAUAAUUAUUGCUCCACCUGACAGCAGGGACCCACCGGAUGGGCCACCUUAUUUCAUGAAAAAAACUUUUCCCCCCUGACUGCUGGACCCACCGGACGGGCCACCGUAUUUUGUGAAAAAAAUGUUUCCCCCACUAUUAGCUCAGACCCACCGGAAGUGCCUCCUUAUUACGCACAAAAAAAUGAAUACUCCCCCUGCUAGUUGGGACCCACCAUGGUGGGAGGCUAACUUGUGGGCCUACUAAGUUAACUAGGACGGGGGCCUUUAUCAACUUUAGUCAAUAUGAACGAUUCUAGCUCCAGUGACCAUACGAUGUCCAUCCAACGGCAGUAGUGCUUCUUCAACCUCUGGUCUUCUUGCUCCAACCGCCCAAAGCAGCGCCGGUCAUGCCGCAUGCUCCUGCCUCCUGUGGCCGACUGUGCUGCCACGGAGGCCUCACCGCCCCCUACUAUUCCCACCGCUGGCCAGGCCCUAUGGCGACGGCAGCCUCACACCGCAGUCGAACCAGUGAACCCUCGUACUCCUCUCUAUGCGGGCUUCCACUGCCGCGUCUUCCCUGGCUCCCCGGCGUCCCCUUCCUAGGCCUUGUCGUCGUCCACCGCCGUGGUGCUCUCGGUGCGGCGUGGUCAACGUGGUCAAAGAACGACUUCCAUCGGACGUGGACUGUACGUGGAGAGGCUGACAGCUGGGUCCACGGCCGCAGCAAGGAAGUGCCUCCUUAUUACGUGGAAAAUAAUGAUUCCUCCACCUGACAGCUGGGACCCACCGGACGGGCCACUGUAUUUCACGAAAAAAACGUUUCCCCCUGACUGCUGGGACCCACCAGCUACAUCUUCACACGCAAGGAAGUGCGUCUGAAAAAAAAAUGAUUCGCCCCCCUGACUACUGGGACCCACCAGCUACAUCUUCGCACGCAAGGAAGUGCCUGACAGUCGGGACCCACCUGGUCGAAGCGUAUGUAGCGUUGUCAUGCUGGUUGCGAGUACAUACUAGUGGAUGUAGAGACGCGCACGUGUCGUAGUAAAGGCGCGCACGUGUCGUAGUAGAGGCGCGCAUGUAGCAUGUACACGUACGUACAACGGCCAGGGUGCAAGAAAGAAAAUACGGCCACGUAUGUGUACAUACGGGCGUGGUCUCGAACGCCUACUCGCGCAUACGUACGGCCAGGGCUCGUGUACAUGGUUGGGUCGGAACAGAGAAACAGCAUCGUCAUUGUGUUCAUGGGGAGCCAACCGGCUGGGUCGGAACGGAAUGCAUCGUCGUGUUCAUCGGGGGGGCUUGGACGGAAUCGGCGAUGGAAACGAGGCCUGGUGUACCACAAAACGGAGGAAACGGCCUUGUGUUCGACCGGCCAUGUUCAAAACGGGAUCCUGUUCAUCGGGAGGGGUCUGGCGUACCGCAAAACGGAGGAAACGGACCUCCUGCGGUCAAAACGGGGGUCCUGUUGAUCGGGAGGGGUGUGGCGUACCGCAAAACGGAGGAAACGGACCUCCUACGGUCGAAACGGGGGUCCUGUUGAUUGAGAGGGGUGUGGCGUACCGCAAAACGGACGGAACGGACUUGUGUUGGAGCGCUACGGUCGAAACGAGGGUCAUGUUCAUCGGGAGGGGUGUGGUGUACCGCAAAACGGGACUCCACGGGAUACUGUUCAUCUCCACCGUCGACCUCCUCCAGCCUCCACGGGCUACUGUACAUCCACCGUCGACCUCCUCCAGCCUCCACCUGUGACUGUUCAUCCAUGGGCUCCUGUUCAUCCAGCCUCCACCGCACGCUAUACUCCACCGGCUACUGUUCAACCACCCCUCUCCACGGGCUCCUGUUCAACCACCCCUCCAUGGGCUACUGUUCAUCCACCCCUCCACCGUCUACUGUUCAUCCACCCCUCCACGGGGUUGUCCAGUUCAUCCAGCCUUCCACGGGGUCCUGUUCAUCCAGCCCCAACCGGCUCGAUCGAUCGGGGUCCUGUUCAUCCCGAGGCAACGCCACGGGUCAUGCUCAUCCACUCCCACCGCUCACUGUUCAUCCAAACCCCCCGCAACACUCACUGUUCAUCCAGAGAGGCAGCAUCAAUCGGCUUCAAUUAGCAGCAGUAGCGAAGGAAUCGCUCGGUCGGGUUCAGUUAACAGCCAUCGAUCGAUCGCUCGGGUUCAGUAACACGUAGCCUGCAAUGCAUUCACUCGGGUUCAGUUAGAGCCCAAUGCCUCGCUCGGGUUUAGUUAGAGCCAACGCCUCGCACACACGCGCGUAUGUGUACGAGAUAAACGUGCAUCGCUCGGCCCCCGACCACCCACCGUAACCGGGAAGUCCCCGAAAUUUUCCUCGCCCUCGCUUCUACCACGGCUUUUUCCGUCAUGGACGGCCCAAAGAAUGUCAUGCAGAUGCGUCUCCAGCCCGCCCAGGAAGAAAAGCCCAUUUUCUGUCAUGAUUUUUUGUCAUAGAAGUAGGAGCCCACCACAUCUAUGAUGAUACCGGGUUUUGUCACAAUUAUCGUCAUAGAAGUGUCAUAUGUAUGAUAGGAAAAAAUUCGUUCAGCCCAAAAUGUCAUGGGUGUGUCUUUUUUUUGUAGUGAUUAAACCGGGGCGACGGCUUAGGGGCAAGAUACUCCAAGAGACCCAACAGCGGACAAAGUCAACGCCAGUUAAACCAUUCGCCAUAAAGGCUCGAAGCUUUGAAAGUUGUGGUGCAUACUUAGCUCGUUCCUUUGCAGUAAGUCGUUGGCGAAAUGGAUGUGUAUUGGUAAGCCGGUGAGCACGAUAACCUGGCAGAGGAUUUUCGUCAGCUGGAGCUGUGUCUUGACAAUAAAACCAAGUCUGAUUCUAGUCUUUGGGGUGGCUAUGAUGCUUGGCAUGAGGGAAACUGGCAUCUUUCCAUUUCUGAAUUGAAACUCCGCCAAGUUUAGUAUUGGGCCCAUCCAUAAAUUCAGUAGGGCGGUUUAAGUAAAAGAAGUCUCUGAAUAAUUCAACAGUAGGUUCUUCUUGCAGAUAAGCCUCGCAAAACACUUGAAAAUUGCAAAUAUUGGACACGGAGUUCGGUCCAAUAUCUUGAGGGCGGAUUUGGAAGCUAGCAAGCACAUCAUAGAAGAAUUUUGAUCCGGGAGGGCUAAACCCUCGACCCAUAUGAUCAAUAGACACAAUCACCUCUCCAUCCUUGGGUUCAAGAGGAUUCUCUGGACCGGGGACUCUCCAGUGGAUGACUUCUUUUUUCGCUAAAGCGUCGGUUGCAACAAGUCCGUUUAGCUGUUCUUCCGUAACUCGGGAAGGAACCCAAUUGCAAGCAUAAAAUUGUUUGGCCAUUUGUUAAACAAGACCUGAAGGAAGAUUGGUGUCGGUUUAAGAAAUCAUGAUCAACUGCUAAAAGUAAAGGGGCAGGAAGUAUUCAAGCGUGAAUUCAAGCUUUGUUUGGCGCAUGAAGGUGACACGAUCGGCGACGAGGCAUUGCAAGCAUACAUCCGUUUGUUCGAGCAGCCCUUGAAUGACACCCACAUAGCGGCAGUACUAGCACUGAUCGGAUGGGAGCCCUUGGCCCUUCCGACGGAGGAUAUGGUAGAUGAGGCGAGGGCAUAGCGCCUUCGCCUUUGUGGUUUUCGUGGGCUGUUUCUAUGGUUGUGCAACCAAUGAAAGUGCUUGUGUGGAACGUCCGCGGACUUAACUCCCCGGCGAGGCGUCAUUCUAUCUUCCAAGUGGUGGCUUCGAUCGACCCUAGUAUCGUGUGCAUUCAAGAGACUAAGAUGGAGAGUGUAACGCAGGAAAUUGUCAACCAAUGCCUUGGUAAUAAAUUUGAGUGUUUCUACUUCCUCCCAGCGGCUGGGACGUGCGGAGGCAUUUUGUUGGCUUGGGACCCGCUACUGGUCAUGCUGUCUAACCCUCAUCGUUCGAACAACACCUUGUCCGCCCUUGUGCAGCCCUUGGGGGCGCCAUUUUGGUGGUUUACAGGUGUCUAUGGGCCGUCAUUGGAGGACGCGACCAAGGUAGAAUUUUUACGCGAGUUGGUGGAGGUACGAGAGCUUUUGGCUGGCCCAUGGAUGUUGGCUGGCGAUUUUAACCUUCUUGUCAGCCCGGAGGACAAGAAUAACGACUCCGUCAACCGUCGCAUGAUUAGUCGCUUCCGGUCCAAACUUAACCGGUUGGAGCUCAAGGAGGUAUACUUGAACGGACGCCGCUAUACGUGGUCAAAUGAGAGGUCCAGGAUGACCUUGGAACGAAUUGAUCACGUUUUUGGGACGAAGUGCUGGGAGGAUCUUUACCCCUCUUGCCUCUUAACGGCAUUGGUGGAUUUGCAUGCUGAUUUCCAAUUCGGGAGGCGCUUUAAGUUUGAAUCUUUCUGGCCUAAAGCCCCAGGCUUUAUGCAAACGAUGCAAGACGCAUGGCAUUCCGUCCCAUCGCAGGGUAACCCCUAUGUGGUGUUGAAUAAUAAACUGCGAACCACCGCAAAGCAUCUACAAAGAUGGAGUGAUAAGUGGAUUGGCAAUAUUCGCAUGCAAAUAGCCAUUGCCCUGGAGCUAAUCCUUAGGCUGGAUGUGGCCAUGGAGUCCAGGGAGCUGAGCCGGGCGGAGUUUGAACUUCGCAAGCUUCUCAAGAGGAAACUUCUUGGGCUUUCCUCCCUCCAACGCACGAUUGCAAGGCAGCGCUCUAGACUGCUGCACCUAAAGGAGGGAGAUGCAAACACUGAGUUCUUUCAUCGGCACGCGAGGCAUCGAUAAUGCAAAAAUGUGAUCAUGUCGCUCCGGCACAACAACGAGGUGAUAACGGGCCAAGAGAAUAUUGCGGAGGUGGUGGAUGCUUACUAUGGGGCCCUGCUUGGUUCCGCGAGGGGACGCCAGCAUACCAUUGACUUAGACGAGCUAUGUUUUCCCUCCUUGGACCCACAUCACUUGGAAGUGCCGUUCACGGAGGAGGAGGUAUUUGCUGUGAUCAAAACCAUGCCUAUGGAUAAGGCGCCCGGGCCGGACGGGUUUACGACCAGGUUUUAUGCAUCCUGUUGGAGCAUCAUCAAGGAAGAUCUUAUGAAGGCUUUCUCUGCCUUCUACCGUGGGGACACGCGAGGUUUACCGGCACUAAACAAAGCCCUGGUAACCCUGCUGCCUAAGAAGUAUGGUGCUGAGGAGUUGAAGUAUUACCGUCCCAUCAGUCUGCUACAUGGCGCGGCAAAAAUCUUCGACAAGGUUUUGGCCUGCCGACUCACGAGCGAGCUGCCGCACUUGGUGGGCCAACACCAAAGUGCCUUUGUUAAGGGCCGAUUCCUCCCUGAUAAUUUCAUGCUCUCCCAAUGCACGGCUCGACGUCUCCACGCCUUAAAGCAACCGGCCGUGAUGGUGAAAUUGGAUAUCUCAAAGGCUUUCGACACGGUCCAGUGGCCCUUUCUUCUCGAAGUUCUGCAACGCAUGGGUUUUGGCGCACGGUGGAUAUCUUGGAUAGUGGGACUCCUCUCCACGCCGCCCACCCGCAUCAUGGUAAAUGGAGUGCCCGGGGCCCCGAUCUUCAAUUGCUGCGGGCUCCGCCAAGGAGGCCCGUUAUCGCCGAUGCUCUUGAUUCUUAUCAUGGAGCCACUGCACUGUCUCUUCAAGUUGGCCUCCGAGCUCGGCAUUCUGACUCCACUGGCGCGCACGGGUCUUGAGCACCGUUUGUCCAUCUUCGCGGAUGAUGUGAUCAUUUUCAUCAAACCGAUGGACCUUGAGCUAACUACCACUUUAAGGAUCUUGCAAAUGUAUGGCAUGGCGUCUGGCCUCCGGGUAAAUAUGCAAAAAACAUCGGCCACGCCCAUACGAUGCUCGGAGGAUGAGGUGGCGUGCGUGGAAGGUAUCCUGGGAUGCAGUAUUGGAUCAUUCCCAUGCAAAUAUCUAGGCCUCCCCCUAUGUCUGAAGAAACCCUCAGCGGCACAACUAAGCGGAUUGGUGGAGACGCUGGCAACUCGUCUGCCCACCUGGAAGGCGGCGACCCUACCCAAAAGUGGCAGACUCAUUCUGGUCCUCUCAGCGCUAUGCUCGAUCCCUCUGCACGCGAUGAUUGCGCUGGACCUACCCAUCAAGACGAUAGCGGCCAUGAACAAGAUAAUCAGAGGGUUCCUAUGGUGUGGCAAAGCUCAAGCUAAUGGAGGGCACUACUCUGUGGCUUGGGAGGAGGUGUGCACACCACGCUGGGCAGGAGGCCUGGGUAUACCGAGCCUUAGGUGGCUAAAUGUUGCAAUGCAAGCUCGUUGGGCUUGGUUGCAUCGUGUGGACCGGGAUCGUCCUUGGGCAGAGUUCAAGUUUGCCCUCCCCAAGGCUUCUCUUGCGAUGGUUGCAGCAGCCACCAAGGUGACAGUAGGGAAUGGCAAAGGUGCCCUCUUUUGGGAAGACCGCUGGCUACAUGGCGCGAGGAUUCAGGAGUUUGCACCCGGCAUAUAUGAUAGAGUAAGGAAGCGAGUAAAGGACACACAGAAAGUUUACGAGGCCAUCACGCUAGGGUCUUGGACUCGCGAUAUCGACCCCAACAUGGCUUACGAAACUCUCAUGGAGUACCUGAGACCUGGCAGAGAUUGCAAGGGAUACAGCUCCAGGAACACACCCCUGACUCCAUAGUUUGGGCUUGGGAACCGAACGGCCAAUUCUUGGUCCGUUCUGCCUAUGCUGCACAGUUUGCUGGCAGGGAGGUGGCGCCUGCGGCGGACUUUUGUUGGAGAUCUAGGGCACCUCUCAAGUGCCGCUUCUUCACCUGGCUGGCCAUGAGGAACAGAUGCUGGACUUCGGAUCGACUGGCCCGACGCGGCCUCCCGCACCAGGAUGCAUGCCCAUUUUGUGACCAAGAGGAGGAAACCAUAGACCACAUUCUUCUAGCCUGUGUGUUCGCCAGGACUGUCUGGAGAACCCUGUGCUCAGCCCUUGGGAAACCGCAGUGGGAACCAACUACACAAGACACCCUCAAGGAGUGGUGUGUUGCAAGAACGUCAGGCGUGCACAAGCCGAAGGAGUUGAGGGCGCUUCUUACUCUCGGCCUUUGGGAGCUUUGGAAACACAGGAAUGCGGUUGUCUUCGAUGGCGCCUCUCCAUCACUAGAGGUGGUCAUUAGGCGCGUCGUCGCGGAGGGUAGAGCUUGGCAGCACGCGGGCCUGUUGAAAGGUGAAGUAGACAGCAUGCUUCAGCUUCUAGCAGGGUGGGCAAGCAGCGAGUAGUCGGGUUAGUUGUUGCGCAGGUGGACUGUCGACCGCGCUGUGUGCUGUGUGUGUGCUGAUGUGAUGUUAUGUAGCGUUUAAAUCUUUGUAACAUCAACGGUGGCUGGGAUUCUUCCCCCCCCCCUUCUUCUUCUAUAUAAGAUGAUACACACACUCGUGCGUAUUUGAGAAAAAAGGAGAUAUACAUUAUCAGCUUGCAGAGAUAAGCGGUUGGCGGUUUAAGAGGGGACUAAUGGUAUACUGGCGGGUUAUGGCUCCAAGGUAAAACCGCCCGCACAGCUGCCAAUUGUCAGAUCGGUGAGUUAAAAAUUGCUAAGUGUUGUAGAAACAGGUUUUACAGUUUGAUGUUAUAAUUUUGGAAAUACCGCAGUUCAAAAAAGGAAAAAAUUCUUGAACCCUAAGUUGUGAUAGCGGAGCAGUUCAUGGAUUCAGAUGGGAUCUCUUGCAAAAGGGGAGGCUUUCAAGUAUUAAAAAUGAGUGCUAAGAUCAGUACCGCGCGCGAUAAGCACUAGGCCUUGCAUCAAAAAGCUACAAGACAGGGGAAGCAAAAAGGAAUGGAGAUGAACUACCAAAGAACUCGAGAACGCCUUAAUGCAGAUUUAGGGUAAGAGAAAGGGGAGACUCACUGAAGUUGUUGAACAGCGGAGAGGCGCGAACAAAUUCAGGUGCGUUCAGGUCGAUGCAGGAGCCAAGGAUGAUGCAGCGGUUGAAGGUCGAUGGCGGCAUCGGAGCUUCAGGGCUCGGGCGUCGCGAGGUUGACGAUGAGACGAAGAGGCAUGGAGGAGAAAAGAUAAAGGGACCCUCCAGUUCUAUUUAUAAGGUGAAUGGAUAAAGGACAGGCGCGGGAAUCAAGGAGGCCAAAAAAGCGGGGCUGUAGGCGUGGAGGCGCCUCGAUUUUCGGAGAUCCAUUAAAGAAAAAGAGGAUAUAUUAAAAGAUUUAGGUUCUGUGAAGAGUUAAUGGCAAGUGACAUCACGGCAAGUUAUCAUGGUGUCAGAGGAUGACAUCAUGGCGAGUUAUGAAAAUCUUACGAAAGAAAUGAAGGAGGGAUUUUUCUAAGUGUUGAAGAUUGAUGUGAACAGGUUCAAAUCAACCUGGGGCCUAAUGUUGGGGAUAUAACUGGUGGGUAUAAACCGCCUAGGAGGGGCCGGUUUAUCAACAGAGAGGCUGCCAAUAUUGAAGCCCAUGAAGUUAUAGAAGACAGCGACUUAUGAAGGAAACAUAAAAGGGAGCCCAAAGCCCAAAGGCGGGUUAGGGCCCAUAGACAUAAACCGCCAUAGGCGUGUAACUUGUAAUGUAAGGUAGGAAAGAAUAGAUACCGAGCCGGACACGUUUGUGAACCAGCCUCGGGAUUCUGUAGACCGACAUGUGUCAACCUGUGUAUAUAAAGGGACGACCCGGCGGCGGUUUAGGGACAAGAAACAACAACUCGAGAGCCAGGUUACGCGUAUUCGCUCCCUGGUUAUCGAAACCCUAGCAAUUCCACAACAACUGGGUCCUAGGCUUUUACCUUCACCGCAAGGGUCCAAACCAGUAUAAACUCCUUGUGUCCUUUGUCCAGUUUAACCCCUUUAAGCUAAUCUCGUUGCGAUGGCUCCACGACUAAGUCGACACACUAGGACAUCUGACGUGACAAUUCCACGAUAGUACCUGAUAAAAAGGAAAUAUCCGCUCAACAAAGUACACAUGUCGGGAGGUGUACACACGGUGGGAGAUGGGGUCGUAGCACCGGUAACCUUUGGUGUUAGGGGGAUAUCCUAGAAAGAUACACACUACGGAGCGAGGAGCGAGUUUGUGUGGUGUGGUGGAGGCGGUGCUAGGAUAACACAAGCAACCGAAGAUGUGAAGACCAUCGUAGGAUGGAGGGGAACCGAAGAGAAGAUGAUGUGGGGUGUAGUUCCAACGAGGACGACAUGGCCUAAUUGUAACAUCCCAAAUUUUCAAUUUGGAAUGUUAUACAUAGAUCAUCAUUGCAUAUCAUAUUUGGUUGCAUCUUUGGCUCGAUCCUAGAAAUCCUAUGCAACUCAAGGACCCACGGAGAGAGUUGGGGAUUUCGUUAUUUUCUUAUUUGAGUUUUUCUCAAGUUUUGAAAAUAGGAUCAUUGAUUUUAUUUAUUUUAUCUUCAAUUAUUUCUACUACCAAAAAUUCAGAGAGGGAAUAAAAUGACUUUCCCAAAAUAAAGAAAUAAUGAAGAUUUAAUAAAAAAUCAAAUAAGAUUUAUUUUGGAGUUUUUCGCCUUUUAUUUGAAUUUAGGAAAAUGCGUGUUUUUCAAAAUUGCACUUAGGACCCAAAUAAAUGUUCAUCUUGUCCGCUUGAUUUUAGAACCCGGGGAAAAUUUAUUUCGGGAUUUUUGGAGUCCGUUUAGUAUUUCUUUUUAUUUUUCUUCUGCGCAGAAUUAUUUUAAAAAAACGCAACCGACCUACGGGCCGUGCCCGAGCGGGACUCCGCCCGGGGGCGCCUNNNNNNNNNNNNNNNNNNNNNNNNNNNNNNNNNNNNNNNNNNNNNNNNNNNNNNNNNNNNNNNNNNNNNNNNNNNNNNNNNNNNNNNNNNNNNNNNNNNNNNNNNNNNNNNNNNNNNNNNNNNNNNNNNNNNNNNNNNNNNNNNNNNNNNNNNNNNNNNNNNNNNNNNNNNNNNNNNNNNNNNNNNNNNNNNNNNNNNNNNNNNNNNNNNNNNNNNNNNNNNNNNNNNNNNNNNNNNNNNNNNNNNNNNNNNNNNNNNNNNNNNNNNNNNNNNNNNNNNNNNNNNNNNNNNNNNNNNNNNNNNNNNNNNNNNNNNNNNCGAGGUUCGCCGCCGUCUCGAACCGCGUGCCACCGGUUUUCUUAAAAAAACCGGACAGUUUUAUUUCGGUUUUGUUCGGGUUUUUUCUAGAUUCGUUUUUUUUUAUUUUAGUUUUCGGUUUUUUUUCUGGUUAGGUUAAUUAGCGGAGUUCGUCCUUUAGUGCGUUUUGACGAACGCUUUUCGUCAGAUUCGUUUAGUUAACGAACGUUCGUUCGUUAACCCGUUCGUCGUUUUUUCUUUUUCUUGGAUUUAAUCCGCGAUUUUUCUAAUCGCGAUUCCUGAUCCGAUUUUCGUUUUAGCUUAACUUUUCGCUCGUUUAUCGGAAUCAGGCGAUUCAAGCGCCUGGAGUUUCGUCUCGAAACCCUCUUUCCGAAUAAUCUACUUAAACAAGUUUUUGCUUCUGUAAAAUUUGACUUAGAUCCAGAUUAGUAAAACGAAGCUGUUUUCUUUUGCCGUUUGACUUUCGGUGCUUUAUUUGAUUUGAUUCUUUUUGCAAACCGGAGUUCUUAAGUUGAACAUCCUGGUUAGAUCUUUUACUCGAGUUUUACCUGUGCAUUAGAUGAGUACUUAUUGUAUGCUUGUUUGUUUGUCUGCGAUAGAAUACCCGGAGUGCGCCGCCUGUUACUUCGAGUCUCUAGGUUUCGCGGAUCAUCAGCAAGGAAAGUAACAUUUGAUCAUACCUUUUCUCAUACCCAGUUUUUAUGCAUUAGAUCUAUCCUCAAACAUUGCAUUGACUAGGAUCUAAUUAAAUUGUGGGAUGGGAAGUAGAUUGAGGUAGUACCUAUUACCUGUUUUAUUUUCAAACCUUUGGGAGUUACUUCUACGUUUGCUUAUUAUGCCAUGCUAUGCUAGUAGACGUGGAUUGGGUGAGUGAAUAUCCAUGAUAGAUGUGAGAUUGUUAAUUAAUGGUUUAUUUAAGGUGGCAACUUAAACACACAUCUGGGUGGAUUGAGGCACCUGUUUUCUAGCAGGACUUGCCUGUAUUUCUUCGGACCGCCACCCAGGCUCAAAGGGACCAUGAGAUUAUUCAAACUAGAAACUUCCGUGUGCAGCCACAUGCUAUUAUGGGCUCUAGCAUAAUUGACUAAGUUGUGCGAACUCUUACGGGGUGGACUAGCAGAUGUAGGGGAUGUAGGUUGGUACGGUCUACCCCUCAUGUAAGGUGCUAGUGCUUCUGAAAGACUAUGUCUCGGUCAUCCGUUUCUCAAACAUCAUGUAGUACGAGAAUCCAAGUGGAGGCGAUCGAGUCAUGUGGGGAAAAGUGCGCAAACCUCUGCAGAGUGUAUAAACUAAUCAUGGUUAGCCGUGUCCCCGGUUAUGGACAUCUUGAGUAUCUAGUACCUGGAUAUCAUGUGAAUUUCAUCAUGUUACUCUAAUUAAUAUUGUUGGGUUUAAUGAGUACUUUUUAAUUGGGAUUGAGAAUGUUGUCAACCAUUCUCAAUGUUUAACAACCACCAUGAUAGUUAAAUGAAUUUAUUCCUUUCAAAUAGGGAAAAAUUGGCUUUAUGCAAAAAACUGUAACCAUAGAGCUUUACCACCAGCCAAAUAUGCAUGUAGUAUAGCCUAUCUCCAUUGUUAUUCUCUAUGUGUUACAUUGCCAGCAUAUUCCAUGUGCUGACCCGUUUUCAGGCUGCAACGUUUCAUGUUGCAGACUUUUCAGACGACGAGUAAGGUGCUUUUAGGUCGUGGUUCUAUACUCAGUGAUGCCGUUCGAGUUGAUGGACUCGCUUAUCUUCCAAGUCUUCCGCUGUUAUCGUUUUUAGAUGGCCUUAAGCCAUAUACAUUUUAAUAAGUUCUCUUUUGAGACAUUCGAUGUAAUAAGUGUGUGAUUGUUACUCUGUUAUAAAUCAUCCAAGUACUGUGUGGUGUCAGCAUUACUGAUCCAGGGAUGACACUGAGCACAGAGAUCAGACUGUUUGAGGUCUGGUCGCUACAAUGUGGUAUCAGAGCACAUGCUGACUGUAGGACACGGCCUCUAAGCUUAAGCCCUAGAUCACUACUCUUUCUUCUCAUUUCUGACUCCUCAUCUUUUUUAUUCUUUAGGAUGGCGGAUGCAAGGAUCAAGUUCGCGCAACCAGAUGAGAAUUCACCUUUUGGAUGUCACUUGAAGGAAGCCACUAGAUACCUGAACAUAGGAGUACCAAGCUUCACCGGGACCUUCAACGCCACUUUACCCGAAGAGGAGCGCUGGAGGAUUCAAGUCUACAUUCCAGGAAGGACGUUUGCACCAGUCACAGAGCCAACAGAGUUUACCUUUGAUGUGCCAACAUGGAGCCUAGGAAAGAGCAUGGUAGCUAACAUCGCCAUGGGACGAAUUGGAGAAGUUUACCACAACGACCUCAAGAAUACUAUCUACCAGAUUUGUGGGCGCCGAGAUGAGCAUUGGGAGAUGAUCACCACCAGGAAGGACAGAUCAAUCGCAGCUUAUAUUCAGGAGUUAAACCAACACAUCCGACACUAGGAGAAUCAGAUGUGCGCAGAUAUGGAGGAGCUACAGAAGGCUAUGACCAGGAUCAAGGAGCUAGAAGCAGAACUCAAGGCUACACGUAAAGACUAUAUGGAAGAAAUCAUCGCUCUAGUAAGACAGAACGGAGACCUUAAGGAGAAGAUUGGAGUAUUCAUGGGAGGAUCAACACCCAGAGAGGAAGAGGACGAACCUACUUGCCCAGAUAAUUAUAUCAUCAUCGACGACACCGACUCGGAUCCCGACGACAGCGAUGAUGACUAUGUUGAUGAAGCCGGAGCAGAUAUCAUGGAGUCUUCAUCGGAGCAGUUUUUCUAGUUGACCACCAUAACAGUAGUAGAAUUUUCCACCAUUUAAUUAGUUCUAGUCCAAGCACUUUUGUAACGAUAGUUAGACCGUUGUAUGCCCUUGUUUGAAUUGAUUGGAAUGAUAUUGAGUGUUUUUGUCUCAUGUGCAUAUGGGUAGUGUUAUCUCACUAGACCUCAUUCUAUUCUUAACUCUUCCCUUUAAACCCUCAGAUGCCUCCGAGACGCGACCCCGAGUUUGUUUUUCCGCCAGAGAUCACUCAGUUGAUUCAGCAGUAGAAUACCUUGAUUCAAACAUUGGUAUAGAACCAAGGCAACAACAACCCACCACCACCACCACCUGUUGACCAUCUGGCACGUUUCUUAAGGUUGAAUCCGCCGGUGUUUUCCAGUAGCACCGAGCCGAUAGUAGCAGAUGAUUGGCUCCGUAAGAUAGGAAGGGAGUUGACUACUGCAGGAUGCACAGAUGGAGAAAAGGUGAAGUUUGCCGCACAUCAGCUUGACGGACCCGCAGCAGCAUGGUGGGAGAAUUUUACAGCCACUUACCCUGUAGACACUGUCACAUGGAAUCAGUUUCAGCAAGCUUUUCGUACUGCCCAUGUUUCAGCAGGAGCUAUGGCCAUGAAGAAGCAUGAGUUUUGCAACUUACGCCAAGGAGGACGGACAGUUGGCCAGUACAUGGAUGAUUUUAGUAAGCUAGCACGUUAUGCCCCAGAUGACGUUGCUACGGAUGCAGCUAAGCAGGAGAAGUUUCUAGAAGGAUUGAAUGAUGAGCUGAGCAUGCAGUUGAUGGUAGCCACUUUCAAUAACUACCAGGAGUUAGUAGAUCGUGCUCUUAUGAUUGAAGGGAAGCAGCAGCAGAUUGACAAUCAUAAGAGGAAGUAUGGACAGGGGAAGUACAAUUCUGGAGCUUAGCAGAAGCCACGCUUUACCCCAAAGUCAGGAGGGCAUUUUCAGCAUACUCAUGGAGGAGGCAGCUCGCACAAUCACAAUGGCACAAGGAAUGGGAACGGGAAUGGAGGAAGCAAUGGACAAAGCCGCACCAACCCGUCAACACCAUCCAAGGCAGACCUGAGCCAUAUCACCUGUUACAAGUGCCGCAAGACGGGGCAUUAUGCAAAUGACUGCCCAGAAGCCCAAAAUGGAAAUGGCAAUGGAAGCUCAGGAAAGAAGCCGAACCCUUUCAACAGGGGGCAAGUAAACCACGUUAUCGUGGAGGAGGUUGAAGCUCAGCCAGAUGAAGUAAUAGGUAAGUUUUUGGUUAAGACAUUUACUGCAGUCACUACAGGAAUCAGCUACUUUGCCGUCUGCCACGGCGGACGGCAAAGGCAUGAACGGUGGACGGCAAAGGCCUUUGCCGUCAGCCGCGGACGGCAAAAGGCUCCGGCAAAGUAGGCUACGGUAAACAGCUACUUUGCCGUCUGCUUCCUGGCGGCUGACGGCAAAGGCCCUUUGCCGUCUGCGGCGGACGGCAAAGAGAGCGGACAGCAAUAAUUGCGCUGUCAGUCCAUUAAGUGGCUAACGGCAGGCCUUUGCCGUCCGCCGCUGACGGCAAAAUUUCUAGUGUCUUUGCCGUCCGCCGUAUGAUGUCAUCUACACGUCACUACAUGGCAGGUUCUUUGCCGUCUGCCACUGAUGGCAAAGUGCAGGUUCUUUGUCGUCCGCCACUGAUGGCAAAGUCUUUGCCGUCUGCCAUUAUAGGCAAACUGACCAAAUGGGUCAGCUCCCAGGAAGCACAGCUAGAUGCCACGUGUCUUCUUUGCCGUCCGCGGUAGACGGCAAAGAGCCCGUUGUCGUCGGUGGCAGACAGCAAAGAGCCUACAUAUUGGCUCUUUUAUCUGUUUUUUAUUAAAUCCAACAAUUUUCAUCACAAAUAUAUAUGACAUAUAUAGAUAUAUUUCAAAAGGCCAUUACAGAGCAAACAUAUAAGAUAUCCAACACAUAACUUCAUCAUCCAACCAUAUAUAUUACAUGCAUAGUUCCAUCAUACAUAACAAGUUCAACAUAGAGGCAUCCAACCAUAUAUAUUACAACAGUUUCAUCCAACGAUACAUGCAUAGUUCACCGAUACAAAAGAAACAUAGAAAGGGAUAAGGAGCACUCCAUCUAUGCAAGCUUUCAUCAAGUGAAUGAAAUAUGCAAAAUGAAAAAUAAGAAAGUUAAAACAAGAAGAGUAGAACAAGAAGAAGAGUAGAACAAGAAGAAGACUAGAACAAGAAGAGUAGAACAAGAAGAAGACUAGAACAAGAAGAGUAUAUCAUUUAUGAGCUAACUUAUAUGAAAUGGAUCGUAUAUGAGCUAACUAAGUUGAAAUGGAUCGUUUAUGAGCUAGCUAAGGUGAAAUGGAUCAUUUAUGAGCUAACUUAGUUGAAAUGGGUCGUUUAUGAGCUAACUAAGGUCAAAUGGAUCGUUUUUGAGGUAACUAAGGUGAAAUGGAUCGUUUUUUAGCUAACUUAGGUGAAAUGGAUCAUUUAUGAGCUAACUUAGUUGAAAUGGAUCGUUUUUUAGCUAACUUAGGUGAAAUGGAUCAUUUAUGAGCUAAUUUAGUUGAAAUGGAUCUUUUUGAGCUAACUUAGGUGAAAUGGAUCAUUUAAGAGCUAAUUUAGGUGAAAUGGAUCAUUUUUUAGCUAACUUGGUGAAAUGGAUCGUUUAUGAGCUAAAUUAGUUGAAAUGGAUCGUUUAUGAGAUAACCUAGGUAAGAUGGGUCAUUUUGGAGUUAACCUAGGUGAAAUGGGUCAUUUUAAAGCUAACGUAGGUAAAAUGGAUCAUUUAGGAGCUAAUCUAGGUAAAAUGGGUCAUUUUUGAGCUAACUUGGAUGAACUGGAUCAUUCAUAAGCUAACCUAGGUAAAAUGGGUCAUUUUAGAGCUAACUUAGGUAAAAUGGAUCGUCUAUGAGCUAACUAAGCUAAUUAUGCAAUUUUUGACAUAAGUAAGCUAAGUACAUAUCGUUUUAGAGCUAACUUAGGUAAAAUGGAUGGUUUUGGAGGUCAGUAAGCUUAUUAAGUCAUUUUGGAGGAGAAGAAGCUAAGUCUAGGUCAUUAUGGUAAGCAUUGGAGGAAAUAAAGCUAAGUCUAGGUCUUUAUGCAUGUGUUAAGCAAAACACUAGAUAAACUUACCAAGAUCCAGGAGGUGUAGGAGCGGGGUGGCUCGUGUCGGUAGCUGGAGAAGGAUCGUGCGAUGCUUGUCUGGAGUUAUGCUGCACCAAAGAUCAUUUCCAAUGUCUUGUUAGCAUGAUGACACUCAAAUGUUAAGACUAGCAAGUAAUGUCCAUUCAAAUAAAACUCACCGUGGUCCCAGGAGCAAUCACUGGCAUCGGCGGAGCGGUCUGACCUGUCUUCUCGCACACAGACUGCACAUUUGGUUUUGACGACUCAGUCAUACUAGUUAGUAAUGAGACAAACACUACAUGAAUGUUUUGGCUAAUCUGUAGAAGAAACUUACCACAAGGAGCUCGUACAUGGCCCUUGCCUGCAUGUCAUUCCGUGCCCUCUCCUCCUCCAUCAUCUUUGUCGUCCUCUCCUCCAACUCUUGCUGCCUCUCCGCCGCCUCCGCCAGAAGUUUCUCCGUUCUAUCUCUCUCACUCUGUAUAGCAGCCUGCAACAACACUCACAUGACCAUUUGUAAUCAUUGAUGGAAGCGCACACAAUGUAAUGGAGAAAGAUAACUGAGUACGUAUCACUAACCUUGAUGGCGAGUUGCACUGGCCGUUCACGAGGCCUUAUCUCAGGAGCGGAGCUCGACUGGCGUGCCUUGAUCUCCGGGAGAGUGCUAGGACAACGGAUAAGUCCAUCUCCAAUGGCUAUGGAGCCAUGGGACCUCCCGCCACCAGAUAUCAUCAACAGCUCUGGAUUAAUGGGACCCUGGCUCGGGUUAAAGUCCUCCCCUUUCCUCGCCUUCCCCUCAUCUCUAUAUCUCACGAGCUUGUUGUGGGAGGAGAUGUUGGUGAAGUUGUUUGCAUCAUCGAGGUCAGACUGAGAGAAAGCCUUGACUUUCUUGAAAGAGGCAGUGUGGGCCAUGGCAUACAGGUCGUACACCUCUGGCACCUUAUCCGCCUUAUUGUAGCGUGCCUGAAAGAGAGAAACAAUGAAAAUUAGUAAUUAAAGGGCUCAAGCUAGCAUGAUGAAUGAAUUGCAUGAAUCAUGAGGCAAACCGCAUACCCAGUUGCGCCCGAACUGAUAUAAGUUGGAGCUGCCUUGAUGGUGUGGCACACCUUCCAUUUGGGCACGUUUGUCCUUGGCCUCGUUGUGGAGGGCUAGCCAUUGUUUUGAGCACCACUCAUCGACCAACACCUCCCAACAAUCCAUCCGAUCCGCACACCAUCUCGGAGGCGCCUAAGUUAGCAAAUAGAAACUUGAGCGCUACGGCUAAGAAUUACUAAAUGAAGGAACUUAAGUAGAGAAGGCCUUAAGAAUUACCUUCAUGUGCUGCUCCUUACUCAGGAACUUAUCACGGCACACCGGCUUGGUCUUCUUGAUGAGUGCUUUGGUCGCCUGUUGAGCCAUAAUAUAGACAUCAGGAACAUCUAAAUGAGUGCUUUGGUUGAUUUCAACUAGCCCUACAUGUUCAUGAGUCCUUCUAGUCUCCUUCGGCUGAAACCAAUAACAUUUGAAGACUACGACAUUCGGUGGGUUUUCACCAUAGAACAGAAGUUCAUAAAUUGCUUCAACUCUCCCAUAAUACUCGAUACCUCCUUCGCCGAUAGCAGAUACACAACAAUUUGUUGACUUUCGGUCGGCCAUAGAUAGCUCUUUGCCAUAGGUACGAAAGCGAUACCCGUUGAUGUCGUACUUGUCAAAUGAACGGACCUUAUAGUCAAAACCAUUAGCGACUUGUCUCAAUUCAGCGUCCAUAGACUCUGAAUUAGCCUACAAGUUUAAUAUGAAAGGAUUGUUGCAUUAUGCACAAAUUAGCAAAUGAAAUGAAAUUGUGUAAUAGAAAUUACCGUUUGUUUGAACCAAGAGAUGAAACCGGGAUAGCCACCUCCUUGCUUUGCGAGAAGCUCAUACUCUUCGACGGAAUCCUUUUGGAUCUCCGCUCCAUAUGAGAAUAUGGCGACGUAUCGACUGUAUGACAUAUCCAGGAAUAAGAGUAGUUCAAAGGAAAUAGAAGUUGCGAAACAAUGUACCGAGAACUUACUCGAUGUACGGCCGCACUUCUAUCAGGUUGUUGAAGAUAUACAACGAAAUGGUCCGCCAUUCUUCGUUAUCCAAAGAUACUGGAUGUGAAACACUAGCUGGUGCGAGAUUCCCUUUGAAUAGGCUGAGGUUGGAUCCACCCUUUUUAGGCUCGUCAGCAUUGUACCGAGGCUUCGGAUUAUGCAAAUGACGAUUUUUGGCUUUGUAGUGCGCUGUUACGAAGUUUGCCACCUCCUCUGUGAUGAAUGCCUCAGCCAUCGAUGCUUCAAUUCUACAUUUAUUUUUACAUUUUUCUCGAAGCGUCUUCUGCAUCCUCUCAGUUGGGUAGCACCAACGAUUUUGCACGGGCCCCCCCAAUCUUGCCUCGGUCGGGAGAUGCAAAAUCAAAUGCUGCAUUGGAUUAAAGAAGCCCGGUGGAAAGAUCUUCUCUAACUUGCAGAUCAACUCCGGCGCCAACUCUUCCAUUUCUUCUAGCACGCCAGGCGAUAGUUCUUUCGCACAAAGAACACAGAAGAAAUAGCUGAGUUCUGCCAGUACUAGCCAUUCAUCCUCAGGGAUGAAGCCACGCAACAUCACCGGCAUUACCCGCUCAAUCCAUAUGUGCCAAUCAUGACUCUUGAGACCAAAUAUCUUCAGUUUAUCAAGAUUCACUCCCCUCUUUAGAUUCGCUGCAUACCCAUCGGGGAACAUCAACUGCUGUUGCACCCACAAGAGAAUUUCCCUCAUAGCUGGCCUUCCAAGAUUGAACCAUGCCUUUGGCUUCGUCCAGUUCUGCUUUCCUUUCGGUUCUUUCAUGUUUUGUAACGGCCUAUCACAUAGCGCCUCCAGAUCGACUCUAGCCUUAGUAUUAUCCUUUGACUUCCCAUCUAUGCCGAAUAAUGUACCAAAAAGUGCCUCGGCGAUAUUCUUCUCAGUGUGCAUCACGUCGAUGUUGUGUGGGCAAAGGAGGUCUUUGAAGUAAGGCAGAUCCCAUAAGCAUGUUUUGUGAGUCCACGCGUGCUUAGUAUUAUACCCCUUGAAGUACCCUGGACGUUGUGGAUCUGGCUCGAGAGUGUUUAACUGAUCCAGGGUCUGUUGGCCUGUCAAUGCAGGUGGUGCAGAGUUUUUGACAACUCUACCCCUGAUGAAGUUCUUCUUGUCUUCCCUGAACUUAUGGCGAGGAUCCAGGAACUGUCUAUGCAUGUCGAAGCAAGAAAACUUGCGACUGGCCUGAAGCCAACGAAACUCAAGAGCUCCCUUGCAUAUGGGGCACGGGAACCUUCCAUGCACACACCAGCCAACGAAUAGCGCAUACGCCGGCAAGUCAUGCGUCGAGUACAUGUACCAGACACGCAUUAUGAAGUUCCAUUUGCUAAAGGCGUCGCAUGUCUUGAACCCAUUAUCCCAGGCUUCUUGCAAUUCGUCCUUAAGCGGUUGCAUGUACACAUUCAUAUUUUUGCCCGGAUAGUUGGGUCCUGGAAUUAUCAACGUCAGGAAAAUGUUCUUUCUUUGCAUAAUCUGUCCGGGGGGGAGAUUGAGUGGAAAGACAAAUACGGGCCAACAACUGUAUUGGGCUGCCGUCAUACCAAACACAUUGAACCCAUCCGUGCUGAUGCCGACUCGAGGAUGCCUCGGAUCUGCCGCUUCGUCAGCAUGUAAUUCAUCAAACUUUUUCCACGCAACACCAUCCGAUGUGUGUACCAUCAUCAGAUUCCCAUCUGCAUCUAGUUCGGUUCUUUUGCCUGUUUUGUGCCAUGUCAUCUGUCUGGCCGUCUCUUCGACCAUGAAAAGACGUUGAAGUCUUGGUACGAUUGGCAUAUACCGAAGAAAACUAACGGGGAUUUUGGUCUGUGUCUUCUCACCCAUACCGUUGUCUACCACAAUAUACCUGGAAGACUUGCAAAUGGGACAAUAGUUCAAGUCCGCAUAGUCAAGCCUAAAUAAGGCACAUCCUUUCUCACAGGCAUGUAUCUUCUCAUAGGGCAUCUUCAGUGCAUGGAGGAUUUUGUCCGACUAGUACAGGUUUGCAGGCAUUACAUGGCCUUUGGGUAGAAAGCGUCCAAAUACUAUCAUAAUUGCGUCAUAGCAUUCUCUGCCCAAGUUGAACUGAGCCUUCAGAGCCAUUACUUGUGAGAUGGCAUCCAACUGACAAAGCUUAGUGUGCUCGUGGAGCGGACGUUUCGAAGACUCCAACAUUUCAUUGAAGGCCUUUGCAGAUUCCUCCAUCUCCUCGUCCGAAUCCCGAGCAUCAUCAUAGCCUUGCACCAUGUUUUCCAUCCCGGUACCAUGCUCGUCGGUGCGACGACGAUCCACCUCAGCUCGGUCACGUUGGGCAGACUCACCAUGAAAUGUCCACACCGUAUAAUCGGGCGUAAAACCACUCUUCUGCAGGUGUUUGCCCAUUUCAGCCUCUAUCUUCUUUUCCCAAUUGCCGCACCGGAAACAGGGGCACCAGGUUUUCUUUUGGCCAUUUGCAAAUGCGGCUUGCACAAACCCCUUAGUUUUUGUGAACCAUUCAGCGCUCCAUUUGUUCUGACCAGUGUGACCGGUAUACAUCCAAGCACGGUCACUCAUCUUGACUUUCAGAGCUACUGGACACACAACAAUUAUAUAUGUAAUUCACCAUGUAUAUAUUCAUCAGUUGAUCUACUUUGUCAAUUUUAUUACGUCCAUGCAACCUACACUCUAAUAGGUAAUGAUAGGUCCUAAUCCCACCCGUGUAUGUGUAGAUUGGGUUCAUUUUCCCAUGCUAUGCUCCGGAUCCGACGCAAAAUUUUGGCAGCACCUCCCCGCUGUUCUCCUGAUACACGUCUCUGCAAUAAACAGAGAGGAUGUGUACCCGGAGAACAACAGGGGAGGCACUGACGAAAUAUAUGCGUCGGAUCCGAAGCAAAGCAUAUGGGAAAACAAACCCAAUCUACACAUACUCGGGCUGUCCAUGGAUAGCGUUGGACAAUUCGAAAGAAUCAAGGUUAUAAAUAUGCAAAUGCAUGCAUAUUUAUAACUAUGACGCUUUCGAACGGGAGACACAUAUUGGUUACGCAUACUGAUGAUUCAACACACAUAUAUAGCUAGCUAUCAAGUUUCAUCGGAAUAGAUCAAAUAAUUAAUGGGGGAGGAGGACUUGUCAUUUGUGCUCACCCACGAACGAAGGGGCAGAGCUCGUCAAACGCACGGCGAGGUCGUCGAACACCAAACCUCGCAGCGAUGAAACAACUGCACAUUUAAAACUACACGAUCAACACAAUUAUAUAUGAUGUUUUUCAUAACAAAAUCGAAAAAUAUAUGACCUAACUAAUAAUUCACAAAUAUAUGACCCCGUCGGCCUCUGGAAGGCCAAAGAACACCUUUUCGGGAGGUGUCGGUGGUCGGGGUGUCCUGUCGAUGUCGGGGUGUCGUGUCGGGGUCGGGUGCUGUUUCGGGGUCGGGGGGUCUGGGUGUCGUGUCGAUGUCGGGGUAGUGUCGUGUCGGUGUCGGGGUGUUGUUUCGGGGUCAGGGUGUGGUGUCGGGGUCAGNNNNNNNNNNNNNNNNNNNNNNNNNNNNNNNNNNNNNNNNNNNNNNNNNNNNNNNNNNNNNNNNNNNNNNNNNNNNNNNNNNNNNNNNNNNNNNNNNNNNNNNNNNNNNNNNNNNNNNNNNNNNNNNNNNNNNNNNNNNNNNNNNNNNNNNNNNNNNNNNNNNNNNNNNNNNNNNNNNNNNNNNNNNNNNNNNNNNNNNNNNNNNNNNNNNNNNNNNNNNNNNNNNNNNNNNNNNNNNNNNNNNNNNNNNNNNNNNNNNNNNNNNNNNNNNNNNNNNNNNNNNNNNNNNNNNNNNNNNNNNNNNNNNNNNNNNNNNNNNNNNNNNNNNNNNNNNNNNNNNNNNNNNNNNNNNNNNNNNNNNNNNNNNNNNNNNNNNNNNNNNNNNNNNNNNNNNNNNNNNNNNNNNNNNNNNNNNNNNNNNNNNNNNNNNNNNNNNNNNNNNNNNNNNNNNNNNNNNNNNNNNNNNNNNNNNNNNNNNNNNNNNNNNNNNNNNNNNNNNNNNNNNNNNNNNNNNNNNNNNNNNNNNNNNNNNNNNNNNNNNNNNNNNNNNNNNNNNNNNNNNNNNNNNNNNNNNNNNNNNNNNNNNNNNNNNNNNNNNNNNNNNNNNNNNNNNNNNNNNNNNNNNNNNNNNNNNNNNNNNNNNNNNNNNNNNNNNNNNNNNNNNNNNNNNNNNNNNNNNNNNNNNNNNNNNNNNNNNNNNNNNNNNNNNNNNNNNNNNNNNNNNNNNNNNNNNNNNNNNNNNNNNNNNNNNNNNNNNNNNNNNNNNNNNNNNNNNNNNNNNNNNNNNNNNNNNNNNNNNNNNNNNNNNNNNNNNNNNNNNNNNNNNNNNNNNNNNNNNNNNNNNNNNNNNNNNNNNNNNNNNNNNNNNNNNNNNNNNNNNNNNNNNNNNNNNNNNNNNNNNNNNNNNNNNNNNNNNNNNNNNNNNNNNNNNNNNNNNNNNNNNNNNNNNNNNNNNNNNNNNNNNNNNNNNNNNNNNNNNNNNNNNNNNNNNNNNNNNNNNNNNNNNNNNNNNNNNNNNNNNNNNNNNNNNNNNNNNNNNNNNNNNNNNNNNNNNNNNNNNNNNNNNNNNNNNNNNNNNNNNNNNNNNNNNNNNNNNNNNNNNNNNNNNNNNNNNNNNNNNNNNNNNNNNNNNNNNNNNNNNNNNNNNNNNNNNNNNCUUGCUCUUUGCCGUCCGCUAGCGGACGGCAAAGAGAGGGCCCGUUAGGUUUUUUUUGCAGCUCGUCAGUGGGGCCCCUCCCUCUUUGCCGUCCGCUAGCCGACGGCAAAGAAUCUUUGCCGUCCGCUAGCAGACGGCAAAGAACUGGCUGAUGGCAAACUUGGUCUUUGCCAUCAGCCAGUUCUUUGCCGUCCGCUUUUUGGAAGCUGAUGGCAAAGAGCUUCUUUGCCGUCCGCUAGCGGACGGCAAAGAACUGGCAGAUGGCAAAGUAGCUGAUUCCAGUAGUGAGUUGUUCUUUUUGAUACCGGUGCAUUGCAUUCAUACAUAUCAAGGGGAUUUGUGGAUAAAUAUAAAUUGCCAACCCAAGCACUUAGGUCACCCAUGCUAGUAACCUCACCCGGAGCAGAGUAUACGGCUAGUAAAUGGUGUGAUCGACUACCAUUAAGGAUUGGACACCAUGUAUUUCCCUCGGACCUAAUAGUUUUGAAAUCGCAAGGUUUGGAUGUGAUAUUAGGCAUGGAUUGGUUAUCAAAGUAUGAAGGGAACAUUGAUUGCGCCAGUAAGACAAUUUUGCUUACUACACCAGAAGGGAUAAGGAUCAAGUAUGUAUCACGGCAUGAGCCGAGGAGAGCACACAUAAAUUCCUUAUCAGGAGUUGUGCAGGAGGAAGUACCAGUGGUAAAAGAUUUUUCUGAUGUAUUUCCAGAAGAGUUGCCAGGCAUGCCACCGGAUAGAGAUAUUGAGUUCUUAAUUGAGCUACUGCCAGGCACUGGGCCAAUAUCCAAGAGACCGUAUAGGAUGCCAGCCCAAGAUUUGGAGGAAAUCAAGAAGCAGAUUAAGGAGUUGUUGGACAAAGGUUUCAUUCACCCAAGUUCUUCGCCUUGGGGAUCGCCAGUACUUCUAGUGGAGAAGAAGGAUGGAUCGUUAAGAAUGGUUGUUGAUUAUCGCGGAUUGAAUGAAGUAACAAUCAAGAAUAAGUACCCACUGCCAAUGAUCAAUGAUCUGUUUGAUCGGUUGCAAGGAGCUAAGGUGUUUUCCAAGAUCGAUUUGCGAUCGGAGUACCAUCAGUUAAAGAUUCGGGAGCAAGAUAUACCGAAGACGGCUUUUACCACCAGAUACGGGUUGUAUGAGUAUACCGUUAUGUCAUUUGGUCUGACUAACGCCCCAGCCUAUUUUAUGAACAUGAUGAACAAGGUGUUUAUGGAGUUUUUGGAUAAGUUCGUCGUGGUGUUCAUUGAUGAUAUUUUGGUUUACUCGAAGAAUGAAGAGGAACACAAGGAACACUUGCGAUUAGUACUCAAGAAGCUCAGAGAACAUCAGCUAUAUGCCAAGUUCAGCAAGUGUGAGUUUUGGUUGAAGGAAGUUGGAUUUCUCGGACAUGUUAUAUCCGGAGAAGGUAUCGCAGUAGACCCCACUAAAGUUGUCACUGUGACAAACUGGGAAGCACCAACAACAGUUGGAGAGAUCAGGAGUUUCCUUGGACUCGUAGGAUACUACCGAAGAUUCAUUAAAAAUUUCUCGAAGAUUGCCAAGCCUAUGACAGAGUUGUUGAAGAAGGAUACUAAGUUCAUUUGGACUGAGGAGUGUGAGGCUAGUUUCCAAGAAUUGAAGAAACAUUUGGUUACCUCACCGGUGUUGAUCCUGCCAGAUCAGACUAAGGAUUAUGAAGUGUAUUGCGACGCUUCACGUCGAGGACUUGGAGCAGUGCUUAUGCAGGAAGGAAGAGUUGUUUCGUAUGCUUCACGACAAGUUAAGCCACAUGAGUUGAAUUAUGCUACUCAUGAUUUGGAGUUAGCAGUUGUAGUGCAUGCACUGAAAACGUGGAGACAUUUUCUCAUUGGAAAUCAUUGUGAGGUGUACACAGAUCAUAAGAGUUUGAAAUACAUCUUCACGCAGAAGGAGUUAAAUCUCAGGCAGAGGAGAUGGUUGGAACUUAUUAAGGAUUAUGAUAUGAUAUUGCAUUAUCACCCCGGGAAGACUAACGUUGUAGCCGAUGCGUUGAGUCGCAAGAGCCAUGUCAAUACUCUAAUGACGGGAGAGAUACCCAAGGAGUUAGCCGAGGACCUUCGAGAGCUAUGUUUGGAAAUAGUUCCGAGAGGCUAUGUAGCAGCAAUGGAGAUUCAGUCUACAUUGAUGGAUAAAAUCAGGGAAGCUCAAAAGGCAGAUACAGAAGUUGCCGCUAUUAAGGAACAGAUAAGCAAGGGGAAGGCUAAAGGAUUUCGUGAGGAUGAGUACGAUACCUUAUGAUUUGAGGACCGUGUUUAUGUGCCCAAUGACCCGGAGAUCAGGAAGUUGAUUCUGCAAGAGGCAUACGAUUCACCAUACUCGAUUCACCCCGGAAAUACAAAGAUGUAUUUGGAUUUGAAGGAAACAUUCUGGUGGACUGGAAUGAAGAAGGAUAUUGCAGAGUAUGUAGCAGUUUGUGAUGUAUGUCAGAGGGUGAAGGCAGAACAUCAAAAGCCAGCCGGAUUGUUGCAGCCAUUGCCUAUACCCGAAUGGAAGUGGGACAAACUAGGCAUGGAUUUCAUCACGGGAUUGCCCAGGACUCGUUCAGGCUAUGACUCGAUUUGGGUUGUAGUUGAUCGUUUGACGAAGGUAGCUCAUUUCAUCCCAGUAAAGACUACCUACAGCAGUGCCAAAUUAGCUAAGAUAUACAUGACGAGGAUUGUAUGUUUGCAUGGAGUUCCGAGGAGUAUCGUAUCAGAUAGAGGAACCCAAUUCACCUCGAAGUUCUGGAAGCAGUUGCAUGAAACAUUGGGAACCAGACUGGAGUUUAGCACAGCUUUCCACCCACAGACAGAUGGACAGACCGAGAGAGUCAAUCAGGUUUUGGAAGAUAUGCUUAGAGCUUGUGUUUUGGAUUAUGGAUCAAGUUGGGAUGACAACUUGCCAUACGCGGAGUUUUCUUACAACAACAGUUACCAAUCCAGUUUGAAAAUGGCCCCUUUCGAAGCCUUGUACGGAAGGAGGUGCUUGGACCAGAUUUGAUUAAGGAGUCUGAACAGAAAGUAAAGUUGAUUCGCGACAGGCUCAAGGUAGCUUAGUCAAGGCAGAAGAGCUAUGCAGAUUCGAAACGCAAAGAGACAGAAUAUGCAGUCGGAGACAGAGUUUAUCUUCGAGUAUCUCCACUUCGAGGAGUUAAACGCUUUGGAGUUAAAGGAAAGUUAGCGCCACGUUUUGUGGGGCCAUACAAGGUUUUGGAACGCAUGGGAGAAGUAGCAUACAAGUUGGAAUUACCUGAGGGAUUGUCAGGAGUUCACGAUGUGUUCCAUGUUUCACAGUUGAAGAGGUGCCAUGCGAAGAUGGCUGAUAUGCCAUUGAGAGAUACGGUGCCAUUGGAAACGAUUCAGUUGAAGGAAGAUUUGACUUAUGAAGAGAAACUUGUUAAGAUUUUGGAUUAUGCCAGCAGAGUUACCCGCAGCAAGGUUAUCAGGUUUUGCAAAGUUCAGUGGAGCCACCGCACUGAGGAGGAAGCCACCUGGGAGCGAGAGGAAGAUCUUCUCAAGGACCACCCUCACCUAUUUGCUAACCAACCUGAAUCUCGAGGGCGAGAUUCAUCUUAAGGGGGGUAGGUUUGUAACAUCCCAAAUUUUCAAUUUGGAAUGUUAUACAUAGAUCAUCAUUGCAUAUCAUAUUUUGUUGCAUCUUUGGCUCAAUCCUAGAAAUCCUAUGCAACUCAAGGACCCACGGAGAGAGUUGGGGAUUUCGUUAUUUUCUUAUUUGAGUUUUUCUCAAGUUUUGAAAAUAGGAUCAAUGAUUUUAUUUACUUUAUCUUCAAUUAUUUCUACUACCAAAAUUCAGAGAGGGAACAAAAGGACUUUCCCAAAAUAAAGAAAUAAUGAAGAUUUAAUAAAAAAAUCAAAUAAGAUUUAUUUUGGAGUUUUUCACCUUUUAUUUGAAUUUAGGAAAAAUGCGCGUUUUUCAAAAUUGCAUUUAGGCCUCAAAUAAAUGUUCAUCUUGUCCGGCUUGAUUUUAGAAGCCCGGGAAAAUUUAUUUCGGAAUUUUUGGAGUCCGUUUAGUAUUUCUUUUUAUUUUUCUUCUGCGUGGAAUUAUUUUUUUUUUUAAAACGCAACCGACCUACGGGCCAUGCCCGAGCGGGACUCCGCCCGGGGGCGCCUUUAAAUAGCNNNNNNNNNNNNNNNNNNNNNNNNNNNNNNNNNNNNNNNNNNNNNNNNNNNNNNNNNNNNNNNNNNNNNNNNNNNNNNNNNNNNNNNNNNNNNNNNNNNNNNNNNNNNNNNNNNNNNNNNNNNNNNNNNNNNNNNNNNNNNNNNNNNNNNNNNNNNNNNNNNNNNNNNNNNNNNNNNNNNNNNNNNNNNNNNNNNNNNNNNNNNNNNNNNNNNNNNNNNNNNNNNNNNNNNNNNNNNNNNNNNNNNNNNNNNNNNNNNNNNNNNNNNNNNNNNNNNNNNNNNNNNNNNNNNNNNNNNNNNNNNNNNNNNNNNNNNNNNNNNNNNNNNNNNNNNNNNNNNNNNNNNNNNNNNNNNCGCCGUCUCGAACCGCUUGCCGCCGGUUUUCUUAAAAAUAACCGGACGGUUUUAUUUCGGUUUUGUUCGGGGUUUUUUUAGAUUCGUUUUUUUUUAUUUUAGUUUUUGGUUUUUUUUCAGUUAGGUUAAUUAGCGGACGUUCGUCCGUUAGUUCGUUUUAACGAACGCUUUUCGUCAGAUUCGUUUAGUUAACGAACGUUCGUUCGUUAACCCGUUCGUCGUUUUUUCUUUUUCUCGGAUUUAAUCCGCGAUUUUUCUGAUCGCGAUUCCUGAUCCGAUUUUCGUUUUAGCUUAACUUUUCGCUCGUUUAUCGGAAUCAGGCGAUUCAAGCGCUUGCAGUUUCGUCUCGAAACCCUCUUUCCGAAUAAUCUACUUAAUCAAGUUUUUGCUUCUAUAAAAUUUGACUUAGAUCCAGAUUAGUAAAACGAAGAUGUUUUCUUUCGCCGUUUGACUUUCGUUGCUUUAUUUGAUUUGAUUCUUUUUGCAAACCGGAGUUCUUAAGUUGAACAUCCUGGUUAGAUCUUUUACUCGAGUUUUACCUGUGCAUUAGAUGAGUACUUAUUGUAUGCUUGUUUGUUUGUCUGCGAUAGAAUACCCGGAGUGCGCCGCCUGUUACUUCGAGUCUCUAGGUUUCACGGAUCAUCAGCAAGGCAAGUAACACUUGAUCAUACCUUUUCUCAUACCCAGUUUUUAUGCAUUAGAUCUAUCCUCAAACAUUGCAUUGACUAGGAUCUAAUUAAAUUGUGGGAUGGGAAGUAGAUUGAGGUAGUACCUAUUACCUGUUUUAUUUUCAAACCUUUGGGAGUUACUUCUACGUUUGCUUAUUAUGCCAUGCUAUGCUAGUAGACGUGGAUUGGGUGAGUGAAUAUCCAUGACAGAUGUGAGAUUGUUAAUUAAUGGUUUAUUUAAGGUGGCAACCUAAACACACAUCUGGGUGGAUUGAGGCACCUGUUUUCUAGCAGGACUUGCCUGUAUUUCUUCGGACCGCCGCCCAGGCUCAAAGGGAUCAUGAGAUUAUUCAAACUAGAAACUUCCGUGUGCAGCCACAUGCUAUUAUGGGCUCUAGCAUAGUUGACUAAGUUGUGCGAACUCUUACGGGGUGGACUAGCAGAUGUAGGGGAUGUAGGUUGGUACGGUCUACCCCUCAUGUAAGGUGCUAGUGCUUCUGAAAGACUAUGUCUCGGUCAUCCGUUUCUCAAACAUCAUGUAGUGCGAGAAUCCAAGCGGAGGCGAUCGAGUCAUGUGGGGAAAAGUGCGCAAACCUCUGCAGAGUGUAUAAACUAAUCAUGGUUAGCCGUGUCCCCAGUUAUGGACAUCUUGAGUAUCUAGUACCUGGAUAUCAUGUGAAUUUCAUCAUGUUACUCUAAUUAAUAUUGUUGGGUUUAAUGAGUACUUUUUAAUUGGGAUUGAGAAUGCUGUCAACCAUUCUCAAUGUUUAACAACCACCAUGAUAGUUAAAUGAAUUUAUUCCUUUGAAGUAGGGAAAAAUUGGCUUUAUGCAAAAAACUGUAACCAUAGAGCUUUACCACCAGCCAAAUAUGCAUGUAGUAUAGCCUACCUCCAUUGUUAUUCUCUAUGUGUUACAUUGCCAGCAUAUUCCAUGUGCUGACCCGUUUUCGGGCUGCAAUGUUUCAUGUUGCAGACUUUUCAGACGACGAGUAAGGUGCUUUUAGGUCGUGGUUCUAUACUCAGUGAUGCCGUUCGAGUUGAUGGACUCGCUUAUCUUCCAAGUCUUCCGCUGUUAUCGUUUUUAGAUGGCCUUAAGCCAUAUACAUUUUAAUAAGUUCUCUUUUGAGACAUUCGAUGUAAUAAGUGUGUGAUUGUUACUCUGUUAUAAAUCAUCCAAGUAUUGUGUGGUGUCAGCAUUACUGAUCCAGGGAUGACACUGAGCACAGAGAUCAGACUGUUUGAGGUCUGGUCGCUACAAUGUGGUAUCAGAGCACAUGCUGACUGUAGGACACGGCCUCUAAGCUUAAGCCCUAGAUCACUACUCUUUCUUCUCAUUUCUGACUCCUCAUCUUUUCUAUUCUUUAGGAUGGCGGAUGCAAGGAUCAAGUUCGCGCAACCAGAUGAGAAUUCACCUUUUGGAUGUCACUUGAAGGAAGCCACUAGAUACCUGAACAUAGGAGUACCAAGCUUCAUCGGGACCUUCAACGCCACUUUACCCGAAGAGGAGCGCUGGAGGAUUCAAGUCUACAUUCUAGGAAGGACGUUUGCACCAGUCAUAGAGCCAAUAGAAUUUACCUUUGAUGUGCCAACAUGGAGCCUAGGAAAGAGCAUGGCAGCUCACAUCGCCAUGGGACGAAUUGGAGAAGUUUACCACAACGACCUCAAGAAUACUAUCUACCAGAUUUGUGGGCGCCGAGAUGAGCAUUGGGAGAUGAUCACCACCAGGAAGGACAGAUCAAUCACAGCUUAUAUUCAGGAGUUAAACCAACACAUCCGACGCCAGGAGAAUCAGAUGUGCGCAGAUAUGGAGGAGCUACAGAAGGCUAUGACCAGGAUCAAGGAGCUAGAAGCAGAACUCAAGGCUACACGUAAAGACUAUAUGGAAGAAAUCGUCGCUCUAGUAAGACAGAACGGAGACCUUAAGGAGAAGAUUGGAGUAUUCAUGGGAGGAUCAGCACCCAGAGAGGAAGAGGAUGAACCUACUUGCCCAGAUAAUUAUAUCAUCAUCGACGACACCGACUCGGAUCCCGACGACAGCGAUGAUGACUAUGUUGAUGAAGCCGGAGCAGAUAUCAUGGAGUCUUCAUCGGAGCAGUUUUUCUAGUUGACCACCAUAACAGUAGUAGAAUUUUCCACCAUUUAAUUAGUUCUAGUCCAAGCACUUUUGUAACGAUAGUUAGACCGUUGUAUGCCCUUGUUUGAAUUGAUUGGAAUGAUAUUGAGUGUUUUUGUCUCAUGUGCAUAUGGGUAGUGUUAUCUCACUAGACCUCAUUCUAUUCUUAACUCUUCCCUUUAAACCCUCAGAUGCCUCCGAGACGCGACCCCGAGUUUGUUUUUCCGCCAGAGAUCACUCAGUUGAUUCAGCAGUAGAAUACCUUGAUUCAAACAUUGGUACAGAACCAAGGCAACAACAACCCACCACCACCACCACCUGUUGACCAUCUGGCACGUUUCUUAAGGUUGAAUCCGCCGGUGUUUUCCAGUAGCACCGAGCCGAUAGUAGCAGAUGAUUGGCUCCAUAAGAUAGGAAGGGAGUUGACUACUGCAGGAUGCACAGAUGGAGAAAAGGUGAAGUUUGCCGCACAUCAGCUUGACGGACCCGCAGCAGCAUGGUGGGAGAAUUUUACAGCCACUUACCCUGUAGACACUGUCACAUGGAAUCAGUUUCAGCAAGCUUUUCGUACUGCCCAUGUUUCAGCAGGAGCUAUGGCCAUGAAGAAGCAUGAGUUUUGCAACUUACGCCAAGGAGGACGGACAGUUGGCCAGUACAUGGAUGAUUUUAGUAAGCUAGCACGUUAUGCCCCAGAUGACGUUGCUACGGAUGCAGCUAAGCAGGAGAAGUUUCUAGAAGGAUUGAAUGAUGAGCUGAGCAUGCAGUUGAUGGUAGCCACUUUCAAUAACUACCAGGAGUUAGUAGAUCGUGCUCUUAUGAUUGAAGGGAAGCAGCAGCAGAUUGACAAUCGUAAGAGGAAGUAUGGACAGGGGAAGUACAAUUCUGGAGCUCAGCAGAAGCCAUGCUUUACCCCAAAGUCAGGAGGGCAUUUUCAGCAUACUCAUGGAGGAGGCAGCUCGCACAAUCACAAUGGCACAAGGAAUGGGAACGGGAAUGGAGGAAGCAAUGGACAAAGCCGCACCAACCCGUCAACACCAUCCAAGGCAGACCUGAGCCAUAUCACCUGUUACAAGUGCCGCAAGACGGGGCAUUAUGCAAAUGACUGCCCAGAAGCCCAAAAUGGAAAUGGCAAUGGAAGCUCAGGAAAGAAGCCGAACCCUUUCAACAGGGGGCCAGUAAACCACGUUACCGUGGAGGAGGUUGAAGCUCAGCCAGAUAAAGUAAUAGGUAAGUUUUUGGUUAAGACAUUUACUGCAGUUGUUCUUUUUGAUACCGGUGCAUCGCAUUCAUACAUAUCAAGGGGAUUUGUGGAUAAAUAUAAAUUGCCAACCCAAGCACUUAGGUCACCCAUGCUAGUAACCUCACCCGGAGCAGAGUAUACGGCUAGUAAAUGGUGUGAUCGACUGCCAUUAAGGAUUGGACACCAUGUAUUUCCCUCGGACCUAAUAGUUUUGAAAUCGCAAGGUUUGGAUGUGAUAUUAGGCAUGGAUUGGUUAUCAAAGUAUGAAGGGAACAUUGAUUGCGCCAGUAAGACAAUUUUUCUUACUACACCAGAAGGGAUAAGGAUCAAGUAUGUAUCACGGCAUGAGCCGAGGAGAGCACACAUAAAUUCCUUAUCAAGAGUUGUGCAGGAGGAAGUACCAGUGGUAAAAGAUUUUUCUGAUGUAUUUCCAGAAGAGUUGCCAGGCAUGCCACCGGAUAGAGACAUUGAGUUCUUAAUUGAGCUACUGCCAGGCACCGGGCCAAUAUCCAAGAGAUCGUACAGGAUGCCAGCCCAAGAUUUGGAGGAAAUCAAGAAGCAGAUUAAGGAGUUGUUGGACAAAGGUUUCAUUCGCCCAAGUUCUUCGCCUUGGGGAUCGCCAGUACUUCUAGUGGAGAAGAAGGAUGGAUCGUUAAGAAUGGUUGUUGAUUAUCGCGGAUUGAAUGAAGUAACAAUCAAGAAUAAGUACCCACUGCCAAUGAUCAAUGAUCUGUUUGAUCGGUUGCAAGGAGCUAAGGUGUUUUCCAAGAUCGAUUUGCGAUCGGGGUACCAUCAGUUAAAGAUUCGGGAGCAAGAUAUACCGAAGACGGCUUUUACCACCAGAUACGGGUUGUAUGAGUAUACCGUUAUGUCAUUUGGUCUGACUAAUGCCCCAGCCUAUUUUAUGAACAUGAUGAACAAGGUUAGACCGUUUAAUUAGUUCUAGUCCAAGCACUUUUGUAACGAUAGUUAGACCGUUGUAUGCCCUUGUUUGAAUUGAUUGGAAUGAUAUUGAGUGUUUUUGUCUCAUGUGCAUAUGGGUAGUGUUAUCUCACUAGACCUCAUUCUAUUCUUAACUCUUCCCUCUAAACCCUCAGAUGCCUCCGAGACGCGACCCCGAGUUUGUUUUUCCGCUAGAGAUCACUCAGUUGAUUCAGCAGCAGAAUACCUUGAUUCAAACAUUGGUACAGAACCAAGGCAACAACAACCCACCACCACCACCACCUGUUGACCAUCUGGCACGUUUCUUAAGGUUGAAUCCGCCGGUGUUUUCCAGUAUCACCGAGCCGAUAGUAGCAGAUGAUUGGCUCCGUAAGAUAGGAAGGGAGUUGACUACUGCAGGAUGCACAGAUGGAGAAAAGGUGAAGUUUGCCGCACAUCAGCCAAAUAGUUAAAUGAAUUUAUUCCUUUGAAGUAGGGAAAAAAUGGCUUUAUGCAAAAAACUGUAACCAUAGAGCUUUACCACCAGCCAGAUAUGCAUGUAGUAUAGCCUAUCUCCAUUGUUAUUCUCUAUGUGUUACAUUGCCAGCAUAUUCCAUGUGCUGACCCGUUUUCGGGCUGCAACGUUUCAUGUUGCAGACUUUUCAGACGAUGAGUAAGGUGCUUUUAGGUCGUGGUUCUAUACUCAGUGAUGCCGUUGGAGUUGAUGGACUCGCUUAUCUUUCAAGUCUUCCGUUGUUAUCGUUUUUAGAUGGCCUUAAGCCAUAUACAUUUUAAUAAGUUCUCUUUUGAGACAUUCGAUGUAAUAAGUGUGUGAUUGCUACUCUGUUAUAAAUCCUCCAAGUACUGUGUGGUGUCAGCAUUACUGAUCCAGGGAUGACACUGAGCACAGAGAUCAGACUGUUUGAGGUCUGGUCGCUACACUAAUGUUAACUAGGAGGGUGGUGGUGGCGAGAGCAUCGGGCCAAAACUGAGGGGGGCCAUUGGAGUUAAACAAAAACAUGCGGACGCAGUCGUUAAGAGUGCGGAGAAUGUGCUCAGCACGGCCAUUCUGAUGGGAGGUGUAGGGACACGUGAGACGAAAGGUGGUGCCGUAGGAGGCGAGAAGCUGGCGAGUGGCAACGCUGUCAAACUCGUUUCCGUUAUCAGUUUGUAAGGCGAUAAUAGGGCGCCCGAACUGGGUGGUGAUGUAGGAGUAAAAGGCUGUGAGGGUGGCGAGUACAUCGGACUUGCGACGGAGCGGAAACGUCCACGCAAAGUGAGAGAAAUCAUCAAGUAAAACUAGAUAAUAUAGAAAACCCGUGUUAAUCGCCAUGGGAGAUGUCCAUACAUCACUAUGAAGUAACUGAAACGAAAAGGUAGAAAUAGUGUUUGACGCGCUAAACAGAACAUGUUUGCCGAGACGGCAAGCAUGACAAGUGUGCUCGUUGAAUUUAUUACAUGAAAAGGAAAAACUCUUGAGAAUCUGACGAAGGACGAUGGAGUUGGGAUGGCCCAACCGUGCAUGCCAAAGAUCUACGCCGGCAGAGAGGGCGACCGGAGAGGCGGUGGUAGUGGUGGCAGUGGAGGCGGAGUGCACCGGAUAGAGAUCAUCAGGGUUGUCACAUCGGUGCAGAACCAUCUGUGUACGGGAGUCCUUCACAGAGAAACCAAGACCAUCAAAUUCAACAGUGAGAGGAUUAUCACGAGCAAGACAAUGAACGGAGACAAGAUUUUUAAUUAGGUCAGGUGAAACAAGAACAUUAGUCAUAUUAAUCAGUGUGGAGUUAGAAGGAAAGAAACCGUGACCGACAUGAGUAAUGGGCAAAGAAGAACCGUCACCGAGGGUGAUACGGUUCGAGGUGGUGACUGAAAAGGAGGAAGCAUGGUUACCGGGGUGCGAUGUCAUGUGGGCGGUAGCCCCCGUGUCCAUGUACCAAUCGCUGCCACCUCCGUAGUUGGAGGGAGACGGCACCGAGUGCAGCGCGGCGAGCAGUGCGGGAUCCCAUGGGGCCGGAGGGAGGGGGUAGCCUCCGGGCUGAACUGGCGCGGGAGGCGGCGCGAAGCCGCCGAGUAGCGUUUAGCCGCUGGACUGCUGGAAAGCAUCAGCCGAAGGAGGCGCCGGCAGGGGCACGUAGCUGCCCCCACCCGCCUGGUAGGGUGCAGCGGCGUAGUGCGCCUGAGGCCCGGUCGGGUGUGGCCCGAGGAUGCCCGGAGCCCGUGGGACCGGCAUAUGGUAAGCGUUGACCACGUCGGUCCAUAGAUUGGCGCAGACAGUCCAGGGCGGGUGGGCUGAUGUUGGCAUGGAGCCUCCCCCCCGCCGCCAUACCCCGGCUGUUGCUGCUGCUGUUGUGGCCCGGGGCGACCGCCGCCACCGCCCUGCUGCUGUUGCUGAGGGGCAGGUGGUGCGGGCGAAGCCGAUGGUAGGGGGAAGUACCCUGGUGGCGCGGGCGAACGCGGAUGAGGCGCGCGAGCAGAGGUGCCCCGCGAGACGUCUCGGCGGCGAGGGAGGUGUGGUGGACACGAGCUUUGACCUUUUUCAUCAGGCGUUCCUCCAAGCGUAAAUACGCGGCGACGGACUGGAAGGUCGGGUUCGACAGAGGAGAGGUUCGAGGCCGCGUUACCGAAGUCCUCAUUGAGGCAGGCGGUGAGAGUGCUAAGCAUGAGCUCGUCAGACACCUUAGCGCCUAUGUCGCGGAGCUCGUUGGCAAGCCGCUUGAGGCGCAUGGAGUAGUCAUUGAUGGAGGAGUCAUCUUGGUGGCACCCAAAAAAUUCCUGGUGCAAAAACACAAGACAUUGAAGCUGAUUAUCGGUGAAGAGGUUGUUGAUCUUGGUCCACACGACACAUGCGUCGUCAUCCUCCGAGACGACCGUGUGGAAGAUGUCUGGCGAGACGGUGAGGUAGAACCACCGUAUGAGGGAGGCCUCAAUGGCCGCGCAGUCCGGAUCACCCGCCAUGAGAUCGCCAUCAACGGACUCGUCGACGUGCUCGAGGAGGUGGUACUCGCGGAAGACGAGGUUGAAGUAGGUCUUCCAGGCGUAGUAUGAGGAGUUGGACUGGGAGAGGUUGAUGGGGACGCGGAUGUGGAUGUCAAGAUCGUGAAUGGGGGUGGCGUCGGGCUCGGGACCGGUGAAUGGAUUGGAGUUGCUGGAGUGGGGGACGCCAUGGAGUUGCGUCGACGCGGGGAAGAGGUCGGCGACUCGGGGGCUAGCAGCGGCGGCGCGUGUUAGGGUUUGGGAGAGGAGGCGCGCGCGGCUAGGGUUGAUGGGGAGGGUGCAGCGACGGCAGGAGAGGGGUGCGGCGGCUGCGGGUUGUUGCGGCGGCGGCGUACAGCGGCGGCGGCGGCUACGCUGGAAGGAGCGGCGGCGGCGGCGGCUGUAGAUCGGUGACUAUCUGAUACCCUGUUAGUUGGAAAGAGGAGAUUGCAUGCAUCGAUAAUUCAUUGAUCGUGUGCAUGAUGCACAUAUAUAGGUACAGUGUGGACCGGCCUCUACUUGUCUCCAAAGAUGUACAAAUAUACGAGGGAGAGAGAGAGAGAUACAACGGUAUAAAUACAGACCCUAGUCCUAUACACAUGCAGUGGACAACGUACGCUCGGUACUGAUUAUCGGUUUUUAUGUCCAUUUCAAUCUUAUAGGAUUAGCAUAGAAUGUUUGAUGUCAUUAGAGAACAAAUGAAUGGUAAAAUAAAAUAAAAUAAUUGAAGUGGAUGCUCCUAUGGAGUGAAGUGCCCAUGAUUCCUUAGGAAUUUUUUUAUAUAAGAUUCAAUCAUAUCUUUACCUAAUAAUAAAGCAAAUUGGAUUUCCUUCGUCCGUCAUGCCAUUUUUUCAGAAAAGUCCCUCUAUUUCAGAGAAUUCAACCUGCAGUUCUGUUUUAAGGUAAAACGAAGCGUUAUUUUCGUAUUUUACACAAAAGUCCCUGUCUUUUCUUUAAAUCAACCCGCCAUCCGGAUUUAAGUCACACCCGAACCGUUAUUUUACAUUUUCCGAAACCCUCCUGAUGUUUUAGGUAAUUCAUCCGCGGAUCAUAUUUAAGUCAAACAAAUAUUUUUUUAAAUCAUCCAUAUCUUUUAAACCGUAACUCCGAUUUUAACAUGUUAUACAUGAAAUUUGAUUAGAAAAAUAUGUAGAAUAUGAAUAUGAGAUUAUUUUUACCUGUUAAGUAUUUUUAAAUAUUAUUUUGGAAUACAUUUGAGUCAAACCAAAUGAUUUUCUAAUUAUCUGUAUCUUUUGAACCGUAACUUCGAUUUUAACAUAUUAUAUAUGAAAUUUUAUUAGAAAAAUGUGUGGAAUCUAAAUAUGAUGUUAAUUUUACCUGUUAAAUAUUUUAAAAAUAUUGUUAUAGAAGCAAACGUAUAAUUUAUAGCGCAAGAUCCUUUUUUCAUACCGGCGGCAAUCCAAAUUGCAAAUAAAUACCCCAUUAUAACCAUAUACAAAAAAGAAAACAUCGAUAACUACACGUGCAUACCUCCGAAAAAUGUCGCAAGGGAAAACAACAGAUUUCUCAUCUCGAGAGUGAGAGAAAGCGAGCGAGAGAGGGGGGGAGGGAGAGGGAGGAGAGAGGGAGAGAGAGACGCCUUAGGAUUAACCAUAUUCAAUACACAUUUUUUGUUAUUUUGUGUGAACACCAAGGCUAUCGCCGGCGAGGGUGAGAAGGAGGAUAAGCGGCAACACAAAUAUGAUGCCUCGCAAAAAUAAAGGAGAUCGACCUAUUAUGGUCUUGAGUGAUGGUUGUUGAGUUAAGAGUGUGUGUUAUGUUUUCUCUCCCGUUGCAACGCACGGGCUCUUUUGCUAGUGAAUCAAAAGAUUUUAAAGGCAUCUUCAAUGCCGACUCUCAGAGCGGACACAGUAUUUGUCUGUACACCUAAUAUGAGAGCCGGCCAUCCAACAUUAUACGUCAAAUGUUCGUUAAGUCUCUAUUAACUUUAAAAAAUAGGCUUCCACCAAACUUGCAGCAAACCCAUGAAAGCCUAUCUAGGACAUGGCUAAUGAUACUACUAGCCGGACUAGUACUGCUAACGAGGAUUUUUAGCACUAACACACGUCAUGCAAGCAAACUCUAAUGUGCACUACUACACCACGUAGAGCUAGCAUCCGCCAAUUUAACACUAGCAUGUUUAGUAGCUUCCGUCAAAUGCUAGCAUGUUUUAACUAGUGUUUCACUCGUUGCUAGCACAUGAAGUAAAUUGCUUCCGCCAAAGAUGAAUCUCGCUGAUUAAUGGUAGUGGCUUCUGCCAACAUGAAGCAUGUGAUUAGUGGUUUUCGCCAAACAUGGUAGCAGCCUCAAAUCCUUGCAUGCUAAUCACCUUCCUUCCGUCACCAGCGGUCUUUCACCAUCGAGAUAGAGAGGAGAGGAGGGUAUGUGGUGGCUUUUGGUCAUCAUGUGGAUGCCCGGACUACUCCCUCAAAACUCCGGCGGGUUUACUUUCAGCUUGGGGGAAAACGGACAAGCGGACGCGUCCACGGACAAAUGUGGAUAUGUUGGAGGGCAGAGUGCACCCGAACAGCUCGGUUCAAAUAUUUGCGGGCUUUUUGAGGAAUCCGGUGCCCUAAACCUUCAAAAAUCCUAGAAAAUACCUUUGAAUCAAAGGAGCCCCAAAGUUAUUGUGGGAAGGGUGUAGCUAGGUCUCAGUCGACUUAAAUUUAACCAAGUCUCAGUCAGGUGAUAUAACAUUAUAGAGAGAAAAAGAAAAACUAAAAACUAAACUUUGAACAUGUCACAAUGUAAGAUUUCAUGGAUAUAGCAUCGACAGAAACUAAACAAGGCCUCAGUCGACCGAGACUUAUCAAGACUGUUAUGGAAAUCCUUUGAAUCAAGAUGCUCUAGAGUUUGCGCCCCUACAUGUUCGAGCAGCCUAUUAAUGCCGCCUGUGUACUGUACGUGCGUGGCAUAUUUACGUUUUGCCGGAGCUCCGGCACUGAAGACCAGCCAGCCGGGGCGACGGAGCACGCGCGCCUCCCUAGGCCGGUCCCGCAGUGAGGGUGACGGUGUGACUAUUCCGUAUAACUGGUGUUACACCGAAGCAGGCAAUGAGUACAACCCGCACAAGAUGACGAAAACGGAGUCCCGCAGCAUGCAUGCACGCGCAGACGGAGUUAAAUGCGGAGAGAGGGGCCGCUCCCGGCCGGGAGAGGCCGGUACGUGGAGCUCAUCUACGCCCAUUCCUCCGGCUUAACGCCGGGCAUUCAUGGAGCCCCCACCCCACCGCUUCCUUCCUCGCUGGAUUUAAAGUUGCCAUCGCCGAGUUGGUGCAAUACGUCCGGCGUCCGCGUGCGUCGGCGCCCCGCCCCGCCCGACGUGUGCAAAGCCCAGGACGGCGAUGAGUCCAGGCCAGAGAACGCUUCCCCGAUCUCGCUCGCCUCGCCAUCAUCGCCGUGACCCCAUCCCGUCACAUGCACCACAGCGACCGGUCGCUAGCCUAGCCGCGCGCGUGUGUGCAUCAGUACAUGUACCUCUAUCUCUCUGCGUGUGUGCCAGUGAGUAUGCAUGUCUAGUGCGCGCCAUGAGCAGGCAUCGUAUGAAGAGAUCCUGUGCCGGUGGUGGCGCAUCGCAUUCGCGUGCCGUGGUGAUGCACGGUGAUGAGCUGCGCCAUGCAUGGUCUCUGAUCAAGCUCUGUGCCCUCUGAUGCAUGGCCGGUGCACGUAUUGAUUGAUUGACGUGCGAGCAAACAUACAUGCGCAGGCAGGCAGGCGAAGCAAUGGAGAUGUGCAUGGACGACCGGCCGGCCGGCACAUGCAGCGCAGCAAAUUAACCUCUCGGCUGCAGCGUCCAUAAAGCCAUGUUUCAUCGUUUCGGGGAUCGGCUCGGACCACACGGCCGCGCCGUGCUCUACCACCCUUUUGCACCCCCGCAGGUCAUUUAUGUCCACCGUACCACCUCUCCGGCCCUCUCCACUCUCCACGCCACGGUCCUCCGGUCCUCCUCUCUACUCUACCUAUGCUUCCUUCCGAUACAUAAAGCCCGGGCAGCUAAGCUAGCAGCCUCCUCCUCCUUCCCAGCAACGCACAAGCAACGCACCACUCUCAGCAGUAGUCGCCAAGCAAACCGCAGCAGCUCCUCCCUUUGGGCGCCUCGCCACGGUGCCCAACCCCAUGGCAGCACAGAGCCCUCGCCAUGCCAGCACAGGCUUCGUCCUGGUGCGCUCCUCCGUGACCAGGCUCAAGCUUCCAGGGUCCAAGGAGGGGCCAUCGGGGAGCUGGGCACGCCGCGCGCCCCGCGCCCCGCUGAUCGACCACCGGCUCUAUCCUCCCUGAGCUCUUCUGCGCCCCACCUCUUCGCCUUCCCUCUCUUCCGCGUCACCGUUCCUUGGUGUGGUCUUCAGGCAUUCAAAGGAGUUCUUGCUGUUGUUGCACUAACCGCUGUUCUUGACCUUGCAAGACUUUGCCCUGCCAAACACCCUUCUACCAGUAUUCAAUCCCAUACUCAUCCAUACCAACCCUCUCAUCUCCCGCCAUCCCGUCUAUCCCUCUUGAGCUUUUGUGACUGGAACAUCUAGCAGUAGAUCGAGUUUGCGUGUGAUGCUACUAUAUAUCUUUGCCCAAUAAGAUCGUAUGUGUAAGUUUCUGUGGCAUCUUGUGUCACCGCUUCAGCCAUCUUGGCUAGACCGUAUUGUAUUGCUCUUUCUUCUUUCCGGUGAGUUGAUGUUUAGUUAGGUUUUUGUCUUGCUCGGGUUGUUGUUUGUUGUGUCGGCGAGAUAAAGCUAGCCAAGAUUUUACUUGUAAGCCUAAUGUUGUAAUGCGUGUCCAGUUUCUGUCCCAUCUUAUGUCACCACUUCAGUCAUCUUGCCAAGUAUAUUGUACUGUAUAUUGUUCUUCAGUUCUUGUUUCCGAUCAGAUGAGUUGCUGUUUAGUUAGUUAUUGUCCUCCUCCAUUGCUGUUUGUUGUCUCGGCAAGAUAAGCUAGCUCAGAUUCUACCUGUAGCCAAGCUUAAUGUUGUAAUGCAUGUGGAACUGGAAUGAACUAGUACUAAGAUAUAUUGUCCAGUUGCAGCUUGAAACGUGCAGGUUAAUUAUCACAAGUUAAGUGCAACAUAACAUGUGCGUCCAGCGUCCACGUGAAAGUCAGAGCAGUCUUAAUUUGCCGGGCAUAUUCGCACGCUUGUACGUGCAGUAGAUAGCGCCAUUUAUUAUGUAUGAUCUGCACCGUAUGACUGGGCCCUGUAACGUACUCCCUCCGUUCGAAAUUACUUGUCUCGGAAAUAAAUGUAUCUAGAUGUAUUUUUUUAGAUACAUUCAUUUCCGGGACAAGUAAUUCCGAACGGAGGGAGUAGUAAUGAAGAGCAUGCGCAGCAGCGUUGUUGAUAUGUUGUGCACCAGCUGACCGGCUCUUGAUAGCACGGCCACAACCAUGCAUACAGAACGAACGCUAGCAUGCCCCGGGCCAUUCAGACAUCAGAACUCACAUUAACUAGCAAACGUUUACUGAACCCUGGGAGGAAGAUAGUACUCCCUCUGUGAACUUUAGUGCCGUAAAACGUCUUAUAAAGGAGUGGUAUCUAGCUAUGAUUGAUCGUACCAGUAUGCUUUAUAAGAGCAUCUUUAAUAGAAGGUCAUAUGUAAAAAUAUCUACUUUUGGAUCUUCGAGAGCAGAAAACACUGCUCCAACAGACGAUCCAUAUAUAAAAAAAUUAGACUAUCGCCUCCCGGAGAUGUAAAAUUGAAAACUUUGUGAUGCAAAUUUACAUCACGAGAUACAAGUGAUGUAAAACCGCGGCCGCUGCCAAACGACCAAGCGCCACUUCAUUCCCCUUCCGCCUCGCGACCGCCCGCCCACGACCGAGCACCAGUCGCCGAAAGUCGCCGCCGCCACCGCCCCAAAUCGCCGCCGCCGCCGCCCUAGCUCGCGUCGCCUCCCCCGCCGGAGGGCGUCUCGCAGCCGCCCCGGCGCCACCGUUUCAGGAAGAAGCCGCAGCUGGAUUCGCCGACUCCGGCGGUCCGACAGCCCAUAUAGCUCCGCUCCGCCGGCCGCCGUGCUCCCUUCUCCUUUGCGCCGCCGUCCGCAGCAGCGACCAAUCCAACUGUUGGGCAUCUUCUUCCACCCCGCGCACAAGGUGUUCGAUGGACAUGUAUAAUUUUUUUAUGUUGUUUUUAGAUGUUUUUUGCAAUAUGUGCGGCUGCACAGUGGUUGAACAACAGUUGCGCGGCCGCCGGCCGGUUUUGCAUCUUUGUUUUGGACCAUCUGUUGGAGUUGCUCUUUUUUUUACAUCUCCGUUUUGGACCAUCUAUUGGAGUUGAGCCUUUUUUGAAGAUGUAAAAAGCAUUUUUUUUGUGCUUCAAAUUUGGAUCAUCACUGGUUUCGACCACCAAAAUAUGCAUCAUCUAUUAGAGAUGCUCUAAACAGAGAACCAAGUCUUGCCUUAAAUCACAAGCAUGUUCACUGUGUAUUGAUACGACUUGACAAUCCAUUCGUCGAGCACAAGUACUCCCUCCAUGUCAUAAUAUAAGUGUUUUUUAUACUAGUAUAGUGUCAAAAACGCUCUUAUAUUAUGAUACGGAGGGAGUAGUUUUCUUACAUGCUUUAUAAGGAUUAUUUUUUUUGGUUUCCUUAUGCUUUUUACUCUUGCAGCACAUGUCGCCGUUUACGUAUGUUGUGCACCGUAUGACUGGGCCUGCAAUGAUGGGCAUGUGCAGUAGCGCUCUUAAUAUGUUGUGCACCAUCUCACUGGGUCUUCGUACGGGCACAACAAUGCACACAGAACGAACGCUACUCCAGCCAUUCAGAGGUCAGAACUCACAUUAACUAGCAAACAGGUCUGCUUCUCAGGCUCGCAUCAACCACUGUUUGCUCAACUCUGGGAGGAAAAAUAGCAUGAUCGAUCACACGACACAGACUAGCCUGUCCAAUAUGAGCAGUUUAUUCUCUGUAAACAGAAAACCAAGUCCUUUUAACAACAGGUCAAAUGCAAAUGCAAUGCAAGGCAUCUUUUCCGGAUAUUGACAUAGCCCCCAUUCGGUUCCCCAUAUAGCUAGCCAUUCUAAAUCCCAGGACAGGCAUGCUUAGGUUAAACAACGGGCAAUGAAACCUCAUUUCAGAAUGUAAUUCAUUUAAUAAAUGUGAAAAGGCAUGUCCUCAAUGACAGAAUACAUAAGCAUGCUGAAUUAUUUGUGCAACAUAGAGAAAAGCAUCACUUGCUGUUCUGCAGCGAUUGCUGGAAGAGAGUACAUGACAGGAGCAUAAAUUCCAACCACAAGACAGCAGUAGCGCUGACACGAAAGCAAUUGAGGAGACUCAAACAGAUGAUUUAGAGGGGCCCUGCAAAUGUCCCGUUCUCCCUCUGCUCGUUCCACUUCUCAAC